Molecule: long non-coding RNA, 77759 nt
Filed under: Medicago truncatula (barrel medic)
Lineage: Eukaryota; Viridiplantae; Streptophyta; Magnoliopsida; Fabales; Fabaceae
Description: long non-coding RNA (MTRU_LNC003589)
Rfam family: MIR2670 microRNA precursor family (bases 11123-11323)
Source: RNAcentral
AACGAAGUUUAGGUUUGAAGUAGAGAAAUAGGAAUGUUUUACCAUUUCUAAAAUUAUGUAUUACUACUACAAAUUUUCAAAUAGAAUGCAAUUUGCAAAUCUGCACAUUUUCAUACAAGAAUCAUUUUUUCUUCUCCAAACAUGAGAAAUUGAUCACAGAUAUAAGUUGCAUCUUUAUGAUGUGUUUGGCUCGAUAGAAACUAUGAGAGGAGGAGCAAAAUUCCUCUAAGAUGAGAAGGUUUUGAAGGGAAAAUAUUUAAACCUAAAUGUAUUUUUUUUUACAGCUUAAUUAUUUUUUUCUUCUUCAAGUAAUCUAGUGAUUAAAACUUCCAAAUUUUAAAUGCGAAAAAAAUGGAGUGUUUAAGCUCACGGAGAUCUUAAAUGUUGUUUUAUUCAAUGUCAUUUUAAAUAGAAUAAGAGUAAAAAAAUAAUUAAAAAUCACGUUCUUGCUGUUAAAUAUUCUCCCAUGGUUGAAUCUAACAUAAUUGCUUACCUCCCAUCCCUUCCCUAUUAAAAUUCUUCCUUUCUCCUCCAUCAAUUGAACUAAAACCAUACCCUUCUGCAUAAUUCAUAGUAGUAAUAAUAACUUGUUACAUAAGAAGUAUAAGAGAGCAAUGAUGCAAAUGAAGAGAGACUAGGAAAACCAGCCACAAAUUUUAUUUCAAUGCUUUAAUUUGAUGAUCAUUGAUGUCCUAAAAGCCGUUCAAGAAUAUGGCAAUCUCUAACCCCAUAUAAUUAACCCAACAUAAUAUUUAAUAAAGUAAGUUCAAGAUAAAAUAAAUAAACUAUAGUCUAUAUAGAAAUUAAAUAACAAAGAUGAAAAUGAAAAAGAAAAAAAUAAUAAAAAUGCCUGGCUUUCCCAUGUACGCCUGUAGUGAUGAAUUCUCCAACACAAAUGAGAUCAAUCCUAGUCUUCAAAACCAUACCUCGUACCAACAAAGUCACAAAAAACAUCCUCAAAAAAUUGAAAAUGAAUCUUUGCAAAAUCCUUAAAUAUUUUCCUCUUGUUCUUCAUGUCCAUGACCAUCUAGUUUCUCAAUGCUUUUAGAAAGAACACAAAAAGGGUAUCACUAUGUUUGAGUUUAUAUACAAAAAAUUUAUAAUAGUUAUUAGAGUGAAGAAAAAGAGAGAAAGGGAAGAGGUAUAUAGAAGAAGAUUGUUUUGUUCCCAAGAAGAUGAAGAGUUAGAGGAUUUCCCGUUGAUGUUGUUUUCAAAGAGGGUUUUAAUUUUCCUUAAGGUGGGCCAUAAAAGAAGGCCUUUUUGUUUCACACGUUGGGGUGGAUCUAUUUGUCUUCCCUCUCAAACUUGAGUCAAUGGUUUUAGUUUUAGCUAUAUUAAUUAACUUUCAAUGAAACAAUGAAGUGAACCACCAAACCAAAUAAUUUAAUUACAUCUUGUACGUCUGCCGUUUAUUUCUUUAAUUCUUUCUAUGUAUGUGUAUUUCUUCUUCCACAUCUUUAUACUCCUUGCUAGCUGUGUACCUUCUGGUAGGGUAGGGUGUAUCACCAAAAAGUUUUAUUUUAUAAAUACCUUCAAAGAGGUUUAUAAAGAAAAAUUGAAGUAUUUCAUAUGAAUAUUACUAUAAGAAAAUGUUAACGAGUCCCCCGAAAUAUUUUUUAAGGAAUUAUAAAAGAAAAUAUUAUUUUAGAAAUUGUGUAUUUUACAUUUUAAAAGUUAAAAAAGUGUUAUUUUUAAUAAUUAGUUGUGUUGAUUUUAUGAUAAAAUUUCAUGACUUUAGUUGUUAAUAGUUGGUGGAUUAGCCAUAUGAUUGAAAUACAAUAAAAAUUAUGCUGGCAAUGUAAUCGCUCUUCCCAACACACUAUAUCUCUAGUUGGUUUGAUUUUAAAUGGAGUCUACAAAAUUUAUGCAGAGUUUACAUGAUUUAGUAAGAUCCAUUUAAAUUUCAACCAAUUAGAUAGAGUGUGUUGGAAAUAGUGUGUCAAAGUGUAUGUUGUUAGGAGAUAUUCAAUUAUAAUCAUAAACAUAAAUGAGUAUGCUUAUGCGCGCACAGAGAAAGAGACUUAUCCUAGUAGUAAUUUUUUAUCAAUUUAUUUUUUUUAUUAUUAAAAAAAUCUCUUUAUGCAUGUUUGAUCAAAACACUUUUCAUCUAUGCUUGUGACCAUAGAAGAAUAUCUCAUGUUGCUAUCGCUAAAUAAAUAUAUAUAAAAAUGUUAGAAACACCAUCUUUCUAACACUAACUCUUUUAUUGAGUGAAAUUCAUGACGGCCGCACCACCUUAUGUUGGAUUCAUUUCUAAAGUGUGAGACUCACAUGAGUUUCAUCCAAUAAAAAAUAGUGUGUUAGAAAGAAAGUGUCUGUAACUCUCCUUGAAGAUAUCCUAGUGUUAAUUUAGUUGAAAUAGAUAAAUAUUGCAAGUGAAACACUUAUAAUUAAUACUCCAUCCGUCUCAAUUUAACCGAGUCAGUUUGACAAUUUUACACAAAUUAAGAAAAAUGUAUAAAUGAUAGAGAGAGAAGAUAUUUUUACCUCGGAUGGAGUAAGAGUAUUCUACGAAAAAGAUAAAAAGUUGCUUUGAAGUUUAAAAACAAAAAUUUGUCUCGGAAAUAAUGCAUUCAAUGCAUUGAAAUUUAAAAAAAAAUAACUUUUUCUAUUUAAAAUUUACCAAUUAUUUUCCUUUUUGCAUCCUUAAUACUCCAUCCAUCCCAAAUUGUAUGACGUUUUGGGCAUUUCACACAUAUUAAGAAAUGUAAUUAAUAUUGUGUGGGAAAGAGAUAUUAUGAGUUGUUUUACAAAAUUGUCCUCAAUAAAUUAUAUGGGAAAAAUAAAUGAAGGAAUUGAAAGAAAAGAGAGUAAUAAAUAGUUAAGGAUAUAAUAGGAAAAAUAACAUUAAUUUUUCAUUGGUAUUGUAAAGCGACAUAUAAUUUGGGACAAAUAUUUUUUCUAAAGUGACAUACAAUUUGGGACAGAGGGAGUAAAUGUCUUUAGGGCACUUGUUAGCAAGACAUGAAAAAACGCUAACAAGUGCUCUUAGAACACUUGUUAAGAAGUUUAAAGAAUAAAUUUUGUCUUGAAAUUAAAAUAGUGCAUUCAAUGCAUUGAAACUUUAAAAAAUAAUUUUUCCUACUUACUCCAUCCGUUCCAAAUUGUAUGAUGUUUUGGGCAUUUAACACAUAUUAAGAAAUACAAUUAAUAUUGUGUGGAAAAGAGAUAUUAUGAGUUGUUUUACAAAAUUAUCCUUAAUAAAUAAUAUGGGAAAGAUAAAUGAAAGAAUUGAAAGAAGAUAGAGUAAUAAAUAGUUAAGGUUAUAAUAGGAAAAGUAACAUUAAUGUUGCAUUGGUGUUGUAAAGCGACAUAUAAUUUGGGAUAAAUUUUUUCCCCUAAAGCAACAUACAAUUUGGGACGGAGGGAGUAAAAUUUACCAAUUAUUUUCAUUUUUAUAUCAUAAACAAGUGCUCUUAGGACACUUGUUAACAAAACUAUUGAUUUUUGUUUCUUGAUCGGGGUAAAUAACCUUAAGAAAGGAACAAACAAAACCAAUUUAAGUUGGUCUGAAAUUUAGGUUGGUCUGAUAGUGUUUACUUAGACUUUAGAGUAUCCUCCUCCUCAAUAUCUCAUGUUCGAUUCUUCUUCAUUUCAGUUUAAUUGGGUUAGUUUAACUUCUUGAAAGACAAAAAAAACAAAAAAACUAACAACUUUUACAAAAAUAACCAUUUUUUAGUAUUCUACGGGAUAGUUACUAUUCCUUUUAUUUGAUAAAUACUUCUUCCGUACUUACAAGACUCCUUGACAUUAUUUUUCCACAUAUAUUAAGAAAAUUUGAUGGUGCAAUUAAUAUACAUAUCUUGUCUAUAACUAUUAUUAAAUUAUUCUUUGUGUAUAAAUACAUUUGAUAUCACUGUUCAUAUUCAAAAAUAAAUUUAUACUAUCAAAAAGAAAUAUAUUGGUAAAAAGAAUAAUAAUGUAUCUAAAAAUUUAAUUUUCAAAUGGUAAUGUUUAGGGAUACGGUAAUGCUUAGUACAGCGAUAUCCAAAACCACGACACUAUAUGAAAGUGUACAUAAGUGCUAUUGAAUUGAAAGUUUGACUUCAAAACACCCAUGAUUCUGUGAUUUCCGGCCAAAAUACAAUUUUAUUGGAUGCAUAUUGGUUUUGUGAUGCCCUUGUGAGAAUUUCUUUGGUAAUAUAUAGCAUUGCUCUUAUCUUAAGGAUAAAUAGUUGUUGUAAAAGAAUCUUAUAAUUUAGGAUCGCAGAGUAACAAAUUUAGACUAGAGAACAAACAAUGAGAAAAUAAUUUUGAACUUGAAUUUAAACAAUACUAACUUAUAUAGAUGGAAGAUCCAACUAUUUUUAUCGGCCUAUAUUAGGCAAGUUGAGUCUCAGAAUUUAUCAAAUGUCAAGAAAGUUGAAUCACAAAGAGUACUUACAUCAUGCACUUACAUACAAGAGUAGAUAAAAAAAACUAUUAAAUUGGGGGUAAAAAAUAUCAAAGUAUUAAAUAUACUCUAUAGAUUUUCACAUUGAAUUCAAGUUUUUUCCGUUAUCUUACUAUAUGCACGAAGUUUUCACCGUCUGUUGAAGUGAAACACACAAGGUGUGUUCUCACUUUCCAAAAGAAUUUUCUCCAUAUCUUAACCCGUCACCACUUGCUAUCACGUAGAUCAAUCUGUCCAAUGUUGCAACUCAAGUUAUUAUACACUAGAUGAGUUUAAUCUUUGCAAAUUAGAUUAACAUUAGAAAAAUCAUUUAUAUGAAAACAAAUGAGAACGAAUAUUAAACCUACCAUGGCUUCUAUUUUUGACUGUAUAUGACACUUGUCUCUAGGAGCAUUUUUAUUAAACUUGCACUGACAUGUCCCUCCAUUGCCGGGUACAACAACUUCAAAAAUGUGUAAAAUAUAUUGAUUAUUUUUGGAGUGGUAGAUUGAUAUUCUUUCUCAGACAAGUAAUCUUGCUUAUUGUAAAUAUAAUAGCUUGAAGGGAAUUGGCAGAUUCGAUCUUAUCGUGGGUUGCUUGAAGCUUGCAAUAUCAAUAAUUGAGGAAGCAAAUAAUUAGUGUACUAGUCACUGCAUGUGAUCAUUACAUUAAUAUCAUGCCAUUAAUUACUUAGAUAUAAAUUAAAAUAUGGGAUAAAAAAUGUAAAACAUGCUAGCUUUUUUUAUGUAUUUUGUUGUACGAUGAAUAUAUUUUAUAUAUAUCUAUAAGUACAUUAAACAAUAACAUAUAGUGUGUCUUGAUUUGUAUAUGUUCCUACAAUAGUUUAUUUGCUUGAUUUUGCAAUAAGGCCAGUCCACGGUUUCUGUGUGGUUUACCAAUAACCCACUGCCAACAGUAAUUAACAUAUGUAAAGAAGGUAAAAAUUUUCGAUUUCAGAUUGCAAACAAUUUAUGAGGUAUAUUUGACUUUUUACUCUUAAAAAAUGCCUCAAGGACACUUGAUAUCAUUUCCCUUUUCUUUUAUUCAAAAAUCCUCUCCACACAUAAUAGUAUAAUACCUUACUUUUUUAAAUAGGUCAAGAGGUAGGACCGCCAUCAAGAGAUAACUUCAACAUCUUAACUAGAUUGACGUCCCAAAAGACACUUAUCCUAUGUCGCAUACUUAAAAAAAAAUCAAUUAUUAAAAAGGGAAAAAAUAUACAAGAGGGACAAUCAAACCAAAACCCUCAAAAAUGAAAGACAAAAGAAAAAUACAAUUCAUCAUCGAAAAGUUCUAUAACUUUCCAUUACGUCCUCCUUUUCCACCACCGGGAAUGGGUAAUUUGUAUCCACCACCACCUCCUUCUCCACCUUUACCACCCUUUCCAUCGUCACCCCCUUUUGCACCGCUACCCCACCAUCCUGUGCUCCAACUUCGCUCCAUCUUCCAUGAAUUGUCGACAUACCCUUUUCCACAAUGACCCUCUAUUCCAUCACCACACCCGUCAUUGUUUUUCCCUUUGUUGCCAUUCCUGAUUGCACCUAAGCCCAACCAGUAUGAACAACAAUCAACUCCAAUGUUAGUAUUUGAUUUUUCUAUUUCCCAAGCUAAAAAUAAAUAUUUUUUAUGUGUAAAUAUCUCAUUGAUCCCUGCACUUUCACCGUAUUUUGGCAUUGAUCUCUGUACUCCGUAAAAUUUUACUAUUGGUCCUUCUGCUAAGUCCAAAUUAAAAAAACUAACAAUGUGUCACAUUGACCAAUCAUUCCACGCCACGUGGCACACUAAAAGAUAAAAAAUAUUUCAGAUCUUUAACUUUUAUUUUAUUCAUUAUUUUUUGACUUAAAAAUAUCAUUAAUCCCUGCACUUUCGGUACUUUUUGAUAUUGGUUCCAUCACUUUUUGAUAAAAAUCAUUUUUGUUCAUUAAAAAAUUAAAGCUUUUAAUUGAGAAUAAUUAAAAGAAAAAUAUAAACUCUUUUUUAAAGAGUUAUUUUAUUUUAAUUUUUAAAAUAAUAAUUAAAAAAAUAAUUUUUUUCUCAUUAAAGAAAUAUAAUCAUUUUUUUCGAACAAUAAAAAACGGUUAAAGAAAUAUAAUCAUGUGGACCAAUUAUUUUUUAAAAGAAUAAUUAUAAAAUCAUUUUUGAUCAUUUAUAAAUGAUUUAUUUUAUUUUAUUUCUUUAUAAUUAUUCUCAAUUUUUUUGAAGGACCAAUUAUUCUUUAUAAUUAUUCUCAAUUUUAUUUCUUUAUUUCUUUAUAAUUAUUCUCAAUAAAAAUAAUGAACAAGAUAAUGAUAAAGCAUAAUAAUAUCAUUCAAAGUUUUAAAAAAAGUGCAGGGAUCAAUAUCAAAAAGUACUGAAAAUGCAUGGACUAAUGAUAUUUUUACGUUUAAAAAUAAUGAAUAAAAUAAUAAUAAAAAAUUAAUAUUUUUGUCUCUUAAUGUGCCACGUGGCACACCGUUAAAUUAUUAUUUUUUAACUUGGAUUUAACGGAAGGACCAAUAACAAAACUUUUACAAAUUGUAGGGUCUAAUGCCAAAAAAAAAGUACAGGAACCAAUGUCAAAAUAUAGGGAAAGUGUAGGGAAUAAUCACUUAUUUUAACCUAUUUUUUAUUAGAUAUAAACAAAAGAAAAAAUUCCUACCACUACACUCGUUUGUGUUUCUAUCGCCGGAGCUUGCAAUACGGUGCCUCUGCCUAGCGAGUUUGCAUAUAUAAAAGAUAUAAAAGAAUAAAACGAUUGUGCAUAUAUGAAAACUAUUAUAUAUAUAUAUAUAUAUAUAUAUAUAUAUAUAUAUAUAUAUAUAUAUAUAUAUAUAUAUAUAUAUAGACACACACAUUGUUUACCUUCGGAAGGCAUAAUUGCCACAAGAAAUAUGAGUAGUAGUGCAUAGAAGCACAGAGAGACAAACAACUUGGUUUUCAUCCUUAUUACAACAAAUUGAGAGUAUCUUGUGAGAUAUUAUGAACACAAUCAAAAACUAUAUAUAUAUAUAUAUAUAAUGAUCACGAAACACUAAUUAUAAGUAAAAAACUAAAUAUAAUGAUCAUGAGACAGUAACUAUAAGGGACCUAAAAGAACGUGAUUAGAUAAAAUACAUUGUACAACAAAAAAAAAAAAGAUAAUAUAUCUUGAUAACAAAAAUAGAAGAUAAUAUUUUGUUAACUAAUUGCGAGGAUAAUUGGUCAUCAACAACUAUUAAGCAAUGAAAGGUUAAAUCGGGGAAUGUUUGGUAACCAAAGUAAGCAAGAUUCUUGAUAAUGACAACUAGCAAAUCCUAAUGGCAACAAAUUCUCAGUAUUUUUAGAAAAAUGAUAAUCAUUGCGAAGAACAAACUGUUGUUUAUUCCAUAUGAUCUAUACCAUGCCAUAUUUUUAAGAAAUUGAUAUAAUAUGCAACCAUUUAUUUUCAUUUCUUAAAUUGAAUAUUAAUAUACCACAAUUAGAACUCUCAAAAUGGUUUAGACCCACCGGACCUCUAUUUUAGUGUGGGCCAAAUAGUUAAAAAAGCACGAAAAAGACCCUUUAUUUUUGGGCCAAUCCAAGGGUGUUCGGUCGGGGUUAGGUCAUUGGCUUUUGGGUUGGCCUUUAAAACUUAUGUAGACUGAAUUAUUUUAUUAUGUAUUGUUGAAUUUUAUUAUCUCUGAGAUUCACAUUAUGAGUUGUGAUAAAUAUACUUUAUACUUUUACAUUGAUGUUUUAGCUAUAGUAAUUAACUUUCAAUGAAACAAUGAAGUGAACCACCACCACACUCGUUUGUGUUUCUAUAGCCGGCUUGCAAUAUUGUACCUCUGCCUGGCCAGUUUGCAUAUCCAUGUACCCCAAUAUCUAUCUAAUGUGGGACCCGGAUUUUCCCAAUGCACCCCCUCACGCCCAGCACUCUUUGGGCUUGGUGUGUUAAUAGGUAGAUGGCCCUUGAAUUCGACAAGCUCUGAUACCAUGUUGAAAUUUGAGGCUUAACUCAUCCUUACAAAUCCGGCUUGCAAGGUGAGGAUUGACUCCUCUUUAUAAACUCUUUCAAGAGUCUUAUCUAUCCGAUGUGGAACUUGAAUUUUUUCCAAUAUGACGUUUUUAAAUCAUAACAAGGCUAACAUGGCGCUCCAGCUUUUGUGGUUAAAACAAACCAAUUGGACAUUUAGGACUUUACAACAAAAAUAUUUCGGGACAGUUUGGGAUCUCACAAAUCCUCUCCAUACAUUUUUUUUUAGGAUUAUCAAAUGUCCUAAGGACAUUGUCUAAGGAAACCAUAAACAAAAAAUACUCUUUUAAAAACACAAACCAAACAUAUGAAAAAGUAAUAAAUACACAUAUUUUAAUGCAAAAGUUACAACUUUCGAUUACUUAAACAAUGCCUCAAUGACACUUGAUAUCAUUUUAUUUUUCUUUAAUUAAAAAAAUCCUCUCCACACAUAAUACCUUACUUUUUUGAAUAGGUCAAGUGAUAGGACUGACAUCAAGAGAUAACUUCGACAUCCCAACUAGGUUGGCGCUCCAAAAUACUCUUACCCUUUGUUGCCUACUUCAGAAAAAGUCUAUUGUAAAAAAGGGAAAAAAAUAUACAAGAGGGACAACCAAACCAAAACCCUCAAAAAUCAAAGACAAAAGAAAAAUACAAUCCACCAUCGAAAAGUUCUAUAACUUUCCAUCACGUCCUCCUUUUCCACCGCCUCCUUUUCCUCCACCGGGAAUGGGUAAUUGGUAUCGACCACCACCCACUUUUCCACCUUUAUCACCCUUUCCACCGCCACCCCCUUUUCUACCGCUACCCCACCAUCCGGUGCCCCAACUUCGCUCCUUCUUCCAGGCAUUGUCAACAUACUCCUUUCCACUAUGACCCUCUAUUCCAUCACCAUACCCGUCAUUGUUUUUCCCUUUGUUGCCAUUCCAGAUUGCACCUAAGCCCGACCAAUAUGCACAACAAUCAACUCAAAUGUUAGUUUUUGAUUUUUCUAUUUCCCAAGCUGAAAAUAAAUAUUUUUUAUGUGUAAAUAUGCCAUUGAUCCCUCCACUUUCACCAUAUUUUGGCAUUGGUCUUUGUACUUUUAAAAGUUUUAUUAUUGGUCCUUUUGUUAAGUCGAAGUUAAAAAAAACUAACGAUGUGCCACGUUAACCAAUGAUUCCACGCCACAUGGCACACUAAAAGAAAAAAAAUAUUCCAACUCUUUUACUAUUAUUUGAUUCUUUAUUUUUUGACUUAAAAAUAUCAUUAAACCCUGCACUUUCGGUACUUUUUGAUAUUGGUCUCAACACUUUUUGAUAAAAAUAAUUUUUGUUCAUUAAAAAAUUAAAGUUUUUUAUUGAGAAUAAUUAAAAAAGAUAAAAAAUAUUUUUUAAAGAUUUUUUUAUUUUAUUUUUUAAAUGAAUAAUUAAAAAAAUCAUUUUUUCUCAUUAAAGAAGCAUAAUCAUGUGGACCAAUUAUUUUUUAAAAGAAUAAUUAUAACAUUUUUGAUCAUUUAAAAAGAUUUUUUUAAUUUUAUUUCUUUAUAAUUAUUCUCAAUAAAAAUAAUGAACAAGUUGAUAAUAAAGUAUAAUAAUAUCAUUCAAAGUAUAAUAUUUAUCUUUGAUUUGUUUCAUCAGCUGCAAUUAUAAAAGACUUCUUAUUAAAUAUAAAAGAAUAAAACGAGUGUGCAUAUAUAUGAAAACUACUUUAUAUAUAUACAUGAUUGUUUACCUUCGGAAGGCAUAAUUGCCACAAGAAAUAUGAGAAGUAAUGCAUAGAAGCACACAGAGACAAACAACUUGGUUUUCAUCCUUAUUUCAACAAAUUGAAAGUAUCUUGUGAGAUAUUAUGAACACAGUCAAAAACUAUAUAUAUAAUGACCAUGAGACACUAACUAUAAGUCAAAAACUAUAUAUAAUGAUCAUGAGACGCUAACUAUAAGAGGAUCAAAAGGAACAUAAUUAGAUAAAAUACAUUGUACAUAAAAAAAAGAUAAUAUAUCUUCAUCGAAAAAAAGAAAAGAAUAUUAUAUUUUGUUAACUAAUUGCGAGGAUAAUUGGUCAUCAGCACCUAUUGAGUAAUGAAUGGUUAAAUUGGGGAAUGUUUGUUAACCAAAGCAAGCAAGAUUGAGACAAUGACAAAAUGCAAACCACAAUGGCAACGCAUUCUCAUCUUUCUUUAAAAAAAUGAUAAUCAUUGUGAAGAACAAAUUGUUGUUUAUUCCAUAUGAUCUAUACCAUGCCAUAAAUUUAAGAAAUUGAUAUAAUAUGUAACCAUUUAUUUUCAUUUCUUAAAUUGAAUAUUUAUAUACCACAAGUAGAACUCUCAAAAAACCUCUAUUUUAGUGUGGUCUCAACAAUUAAAAAAGCAAGAAAAAAAAGACCGAAUUCUGCUCUUCCCCAACAAAUUUUGCUCACUCCCAGCUGAAAAUAGUAAAAUGUCUCUGCUUGAGUUAAGUCACGUUGCGUGACUUAACUCACGCUAGUUAUAUUCCUGCGUGACUUAAGUCACGCACCUCUGGGUGGUAGCGUGAGUUAACUCACGCUGCUUUGACCGGUGGUCUGAGCUCAAGAACACGUUUUUGAACGAUGAUCAAUUAUUCAACCUUGAUUUUACGCCAUUUUACGCAUUUCUUUUACACGUUUUUUGACUGCAUUUAGUGUAGUUAAAACUUAUGUUACCAUUCCCCCUAUAAAUAUCCCUCCAACCUUCACCAUUUUCUCACACCAUCAUCUCAUAUUCUCUCCUCCUUACUCUCUCUCCCCCUAUAAAUCUCCUUCUAACUUUUUACCCUUUUGGGAUAAAAAGAAACCAAUAUUGGGGUAAAAAGAGAUCAAUUGACUUAGGGUAAAAAAUGUUCAACCCUUAGGAUAAAACUAAAUCUGCUUCGUUUUACCUCAAAAACUUUUUACCGUAGGUAAAAAGAAUCUUCUUGGGGGUAUAAAAAGAACCAAAUUUAAAUUUAUCCUAAGGGUUGAUGUCUUUUUACCCCAAGAUUGGUCUCUUUUUACCCCAAAUUAAAGUUGGUUUCUUUUUACACCAAAGAAGCAUACUUAGUAAAUUCGAAUAAAAUUUAUCAAUUAUUAAUAAAAUGAGAUUUUAUAUGUACUAUUUUUGUUUCUUUCUUUUUAUUUACAUUGACAUUUAUUUUAUGAUUUUGUCAUUUAAAUAAUAUAAUGUCUUCGAACACUAAUUAAACCCAACGUGAAUUUGAAUAAAGUUGCGUAUUGAAUAAAUUCGAUAAAAUUUGCAUCUUAAAUAAAUUUGAAUAAAGUUGCGUAUUUAAUAAAUUUGAAUAAAGUUGCGUAUUUAAUAAAGUUAAAAUCAAUUCAAAAAAUAAAUGUAAAAAAUAAAGUCACAAGUACACAUAAUCAAUUAAAAAAAUACACAAUUUUAUUUAGUUUUAAUUUCUUCUAUGAUACAUUAGUUACAUUCUUCCUAAAUAUGUGGUAUCAUCAGGAUGUUGGAUUUAAAUUAAAUUCUUAAAAGUUUGCAGAAAAUGGUAGAAUUGAAGUGUCAUAUACUUUGGGUAGAGAUUUGCAACUUUCGUUGAAAAGUCAAUAGAAUGAAGAGAACACAACACAUGUAUUCUACAAAAUCAACUAUAUAUGUUAUGACAUCGAAUUCCUUCAUAUAAGAUGAGUCAUCACAUAAAGGAAAGCAUUCCAAGAGGUUGCUUUGAGUUUAAUCUUACUGCCCUGCCAACUGACAAGUUUCAAUUGACAGAGGAGCACGAUCAAACUCAAAGGAACCUCUUAGAGGUGAAUUCUGUGACACUAAUCUUAUACGAAGGAAUUUGAUAUCAUAACUUAUAUAACUGAUUAUGCAGAAUACAUGUUGUGUUCUCUUAAUCUUUUGACUUUUCAAACUAACAAGAAUUUAUUUUAAAUUCCAACAAAAUAAAGACACUACCUAAUUUUUGAAAGGAACAAUAGAAUUUACGGAUGAAGGCUUCAAAGUUGUUGUUUAACAAGUUUGACCUUAUCCAAUUUCAGAGGUAAGACAAUUGUUGUAGUUGGAAGGUGCAUUCCCUACCUAAUCACGAUCUUCUGGCAGAAUUAAACUAUUGAGAAGAUCUUCAGGCGAUCUCAGCAACGUGACAAACACAUUGAUCAACGGGAACAUGAUGUGGUGCCAAAAAAUCGAGAACAUGCUCCUCACAUCGUCAACGUUCUUUAAUUCUAGCCGACUUAACGUUAUUCUCCGGUCGUCCAAUGUUGGACGUUCAUACCAAAUGUAUUCCACCCUCCUCGUGUCUCCGGGGUUGAGUCCUUGGUUGAUUUCAUCAAGUUGAUCCUUGAGACAUUUUAACGUGAUAUUAAUGUAUUGAAGCUUGAACAUCUGUGGAUUUCUACCGUUGAAAUGUAUGCUAACACUGAACAAAUCGAUCAUUGUUUCAAACCUACACCAUAAAAAAUUAAACAAUCAAUGAAAAACUAAUUCAAACAUUUCAUCAAACACUUGGAGUCGAAAUUAUACAUAAACCCUAAAACUCAUUACUACAACAUAAACAUGCAAACAUCUAAGCAAUUAAACAAUAUAAGUCAUUUACAUGUAACAUUGUAUCAUUUCUUGCAAAAAAAAAAUCAAAAUUUAAACAAAACCCUAAAACUUAAAAAAUCUAAUUUAAGCGAAAAAUCUAACAUAAACAUGCAAACAUCUAAACAAUUGAGAAAUAUAAGUCAUUUACAUGUAACUGUUGAAGCAAAAAUCUUUUUGAUGAAUGUUUUAAUGAUAACAAACCUCGUGAAAUAAAUAAUAAGUUUUAUGAAUGGUAAUCUACUGAUGGUUGCACUUGAGUUUUUGUUAAAAGAACAGGAAUCACAUAAGUGGAUGAGCUUGAAGCCACUCACGUCAAUAAGUGCAUUAUAUCUACUCAACAAUGAAAGAAUGAAUUUAUCAUCAGUUGAAACACCAAUAUCAUAUCUCCAUAAAGAUUCAGAGCUCAAGAAUCAUGAUAGAAGAACUUGUAUCAUGAUGGAAGAACUUACAUAACAAGCUAAAGAACAACGUGCUUGGAGUUAUGUGACAAAACUCACAAUGAGUGUUAUGUUAUAUGAUUUGAAGAUCAUCCAUGGGUAAACAAGAUAAAAGGAAAUAUGCAUACAAGUUAGGAAGAUUCUCAGAACCUCCUCAAAGUAUCACACUUCCAAAGCUUCUAAAUAUAAGAAGUUUAAAGUUCAUAAUGUUCAUAUGAAUGGAGUUCAUAAUGAUCAUGAACAUAAACCAAAAUAUUUCCAGAAAUCAUAAGGGAUUAUUUCAUGGAUAAACAAGAAUAUUUAAAGUCAUCUGUUACAAGAAAUAUUGAACAGAAAUAUUCUUUUGGAUUUCAAAGAAAGAAUCAUCUUGUUUGUCAAAACAAAUGAUUUCUCCUUUAUAUUCUUCAAGUAGUUUUUGAAGGAAAUAAAUAGACAAUCUUCAUAAGGUUCAAAGUGUUGAAGAACAUUAGAAUGUCUAGCACAAGGUACAACCGUCAAAAAGGAAGGAACCCAGAGGAAACAUUCUGAAGUUCAUAUGUAUGAACCCAGAAGGAGUUCAAAAGGUUGUUCAGAAGGUUGCUCAGAAGGUUCAUUAGAGCAAAUCCAAAAAUCAAUGUCCACACCAAGAACAUGCAAGAACAGAUGUGACAUGAACAUAUCUUAUGAAGACAAUGAUUUUGACUUUGGAUCAAGAAAUCAUUAAAGGCAUCUAUGGUGAUUAAAGGAUUAAUGGACUUUGAUAGUUCUUGGUGUUUGUGCGUUCUUGAGUGAUUAACCAAGACACAAACAAAGUUUAAAGCAUACCAAGUGUAACACCCCGUUUUCCCAAUAUGAAAAUUUCUAAACAUUUAUCAGAGUAAACAACAUAAACGGGAUAUCACAUUCUUUUCUUAAAAUCAUAAACUGAAUAAAUAACUAUUUAUCCUUUAAAAUUCAAUAACAAAAUCUUAAAUACUUUGCAGUGGAAUUUCUUCAAUAACUAAAAACAAUCUUUGCCACUAAGGUCUCUUUAUAAAUGUCUCAUAAAAAUCCAAUCUAAAAACAUAGUCAUGAAUCUUCAAAAACAAUACGUAAGGAAUAUAAAAGUAAUAACAAAGUUCCCAUCCCGUUACGUAUCAGAGCACCUAAAGACACACAUGAGAGCUAAUCCACUCACAACAGCAACUGAAACUCGAUCACCUGCAAGUUACUCAUACGAAGAGCAACAUUUCCAAGCAGAAGGGGUGAGAUUUCACAAAACAAUAAUAUUAAGCAUAUAAUUCAACAAUUAUAUUUAAUCAACAUCAAAUCAUCUUAAUAUUCAUUAUAGAUAGUACUAUAUCAUUUAGCACUUCAAUCAUAGUUUGUAUAAACAAUUACAACUUCACAACUUAUCAACUUAAACAUCCUUGACUCGACAAAUGUGACUCCAACUCGAUUAUGCAACUUAGACCUCUUAUAUGCAUGUGGUACCAAUACGGAGCAUCAAGCCCCUAUCGCUAUUUGAGUAUUAUUAUACUUCCAGAGCAUCAAGCCCCAAUCGCUAUUUGAGUAUUAUUAUACUCCCGGAGCAUCAAGCCCUAAUCGCUAUUUGAGUAUUAUUAUACUUCCGGAGCAUCAAGCCCCAAUCGCUGAAUGCUAAUGCAUGGACUCGACCUCUUAAACAUCUUAAUUCAACGACCUCUUAUAUUAAUCCAAUAAUUUGGAACAUCAUCAUCUUCAACAUCUUAGACCGACUCAUGCAGCUUAGUUAAAUAACAAACAGCAACAUAGGUAGUAUGCAAACCAUCAUGAUAUAAUAAUAUCGAACUUAAGUCAUGUAAUGUAUAUACAAUUAUAUAACAUUAUAACAACAUCAAAUUAUGAACAAAAUCGCGUAAUAUCAUAAAAUAAUUUUCAAUAUAACUAUCAUGCCUGUAAAGAUAUUACUAUGAAAUUUUAAUAUAUUCUUUCGGCCAAAAUAGCAGCAAAUAUUCGGUGCUCAUACAUAUGCACAUAAUCCUUUAGAAGUAUACUCACUUUAUAACCUAUUUGAAAUUAGCCAAGACACGUAAAUAAUUACUAGUGUAGCAACUCUAUCCAAAAAAAACUACUAAUGUAGCAACAAUUCAUAAAUAAAACACUAAAUAAAUAAAUGCAUGAUUAAUGUAUUAGCAUCAUUAGCCUGUUAAGCAGUAUAUUUCUUUCUAAAGGUAUUAGCAUCAGACUACGUUAGUUAAAAUUAAUGUUUUGUGAAACUAGAAAUCACGACACAAAUAACCAAUUAGAGAUCAGAAAAGCACCAGUUUCGGUGAACUUUUGAAUCGUAUUCAAAAUUAUUAGAUAGCCGAAAUUAAUUUAUCAAAACUAGGAUUCAAUAAUAUUCCUAUGCAGCAUCUCUCCCGAAUUUCAAAUAUAAAACAACUUAUGUAUUUACGACUUAUAUUUUUGGCUUUUCUAACCCUAAUUUCUCUAAUCCUCAAACCUAACGACAACUAUAAGGUUAAACCAUUUUUCAUCAAUUAAUCUCAAAUUUCUCACCUUAACCCUAAUUCUCAAAUUCUCUAAAACCAAUCCUACACUUGUUAAAUUUAAUCAUCAGAAUUACAGACUUAAUAGAAUUGAAUGCUAGUCUCACCCUUACCUUAGAAUGAAUGAUCGGCGGCUUCUCUCUCUCUUGGUUCUCCUCUUCUCUUGUUUUCUCCCGUUUUCUCCAAAAAGCAGUUUCACGUAAAAAAGUUUCUAAACAUAGUUUUCUUCUUAUAUCUCUCCUCAUUUUAUUUUUCUUAUUUCCUCUAUUUUCACUAAACUCCUCUAAAUUCCAAAACAGCUCCACAUCUCAAUAUUUAUUUUAUUUUCAAAUCUUAUUCUAUUAAAUACUAAAAUAAGCCACUUAAUAAAUCACAUAAUCAUUUAAAUAUAUUCUAAACUCAUUAAAAAUAAUCGAAUAAAACAAAUAAUUCAAAGAGGGCGUUACACCAAGAUACAAAGAAUCAAAGGACAUAAAGACUUAAGAACUCAGUUAGAGUUCAAAAAGUUAAAAAGAGUUCAGAAGGUUGGACAGAGUUCAGAAGGUUGUUCAUGAUGAACAUCAAGAACCAAACCCAAAAAUUCAUGAACCAAAUAAAGAACAUACAAGGUUCACAUGACUUAAAUAAAAUCCCAGUAAAGUACAUUGACUAAGAUCAAUCAAGGAAUAAAGACAUUUAUUUGAUUAAAGUCAAAAAGGGCAUCUUCAAUGUUCAUUCAAGACUAUGAACAUUUGAAGUACAAAACAUUUGGAAUAUUCCAUUAAGAAUAUCAUCCUAGAUGUUUUCCAUGCUGCACUUCAUCGAUGUUCCACUAUUAGGAUUUGAUUACAUCAAAUAAGAGUCUUACAAAUCAUCCUAAGUGAAACAAAAACAACAUUCUGAAGUCCCUUGAGUUCAGAAAGUUCGAUCCUGCUCCAUGCUUUUUCUGUCAUGAACAGUACAGUGGUUGGAAAGCAAAAGGCAAAGUCAAAAGCAAGAUCAGAUCUGAUUCAACAAGAUCUCGAUACAUAAGGGAGUUGGUACUGUACAAAGCAAACCAAAUCCCCUAAAGCAUGGAAGUGAAGUGACAGCUCCACUUUAUGAGAUCCUGCAUGCGCUCCAAGACAGAUUUCAAAGAAGAUCUGUUCUAUCAACAUUCUGAAGUUGUACAAAGAAAAUCUUCAAAGUACAACCCAGAAAUUCAUGUGACAUUCAUCUGCAAAAGCCCAGAUGCAUAUCUGACUGUUCAUCCACAUGAACCCAGACGAAGAUCAUGAAGAACGCAACAACAUUCUGAAGUAUUUCAAUUUGCCCAGAAUUUCAAAUUAAAGUUGGUGGGUCCCAGGACACGUGGCAUAAGACCAGUGGUCACUCUCCAACGGCUACAAAGGCUCAAGAACUCUAUAAAUAGAGAUCAAGACCUCAGCAUAACACACACCUUUGCAAAGCAUACAAGAAAACAACAUAAGAGUGUUUGAAGCUUUAGCAAAAAUAUUGAUCAUCACAAAGAUUCCAAGAAGUCUUCAAAAGUGUAAAUCAAUAUCUCUCUUAUCUUUUUAAAGAUAAACUUCUCCCUCCAUUCUUCUUCUUCUGUUUGUUUCUCAAACAUUCAAACUCCAAACAUCUUGUAAAGUCUCAUCUAGCUUUAGGGGUACUAAAGUGUUAGUCUGAGCUGAAGGUGUAAAAGUCUAAGUGGGUAACUUAGCAAGAAGUAAAGAAAGUCUCAUCUAGCUUUAGGGGUACUAAAGUGAUAGUUUGAGCAGAAGUUGUAAAAGUCUAAGUGGGUAACUUAGCAAGAAGAUGCAAGCCUGCUGAGGCUUAGAGAAUACAGUUGGCGUAAUUGUUCAGGUGAACAAAGAUUGUAAGGUGCAGGAUUUGAGAGGUUAUCUCAAGCAUCAUAGUGGAAACUCUCACAAGAUUGUGAGGAGUGGACUAACCCACAUUGGAGGAACCACUAUAAAUCUUUGUGUGUUCUUCUUCUCUUCCCUAUCCUCUUUAUUUUCAGUAUACACUACACACACAAACACAUAUGUAUAUUUAAAUUGUUUCUGUAUAACUACUUCAGAACGUUCUGAAGUCAGUUCACUAACUUAACUAUUCCAAGUCCAAAAUUUGAGAAUCAAUUUUAAGUUACAGGUUUAAUUUUUAAAGGGUCACAAUUCAAACCCCCUUCCUUGUGACUAUUUUAUCUACUUCAGUAACGUUGUAUCAUUUCUUGCAAAAAAAAUUCAAAAUUUAAACAAAACCCUAAAACUAAAAAAAAUCUAAUUUAAGAGCAAUAAAAUCUAACAUAUCAACAUAAAAAGGUUAAUGGUGUUUGAUUAUGAAAACUUACUUGUUAUUGGAGUGUUGUUUGAUUUGAAGUUGAAGGAAAUUUGUAUUUGUGUGAUUCGAGAGAGAUUUUUGAGUUUUUAGAUUGGAAAUGAGGAAUGAGGUUCUGCCUGCCUUUAAAACAACACGAAACAUGAGUUAACCCAUGCAAAUUUAACUCUAGCGUGAGUUUUCUCACGCAGGUGCAUUUUGGUAUUUUCAGUUGGGAGCGAGCAAAAUGUGUUGGGUAAAUAGAAGAAUUCAAAAAGACCUAUCUCUAUUAAAAAAAUAUGUUAUAUGUAGCUUUAUUGUUCAUUACAUCUAUUUUUUUUUUAAAAAAAAAACAUUUUGAAAUAUGGGUCGGGCUGAUCCAUUGGAUCGUGUAGCUCACUACAAAUUGGAUUGGGCACAAUUUUGGUGCCCAUCAAUCAAGUGGACCGACCCACUCCAAUCCAAUUAUAUGAGCUAGCUCACCGAACCAAGGCGAGUUGGGCCACACUGGCCUAUUUGACAGCCCUAUCCAUAAGCAACCAACAAACAAGCUAAUAGAUCUAGUCUUUUUGGUCGAACCUUAGGCUUUAUUUAGACAGAGCGAAGUGAGAAUGAGUUUACUCUUAAUGCGGUAUAUUGGAGAUUAUACUCUUCCAAUAUCAUGUUAACUUAUGUGAGUUUACAUUAUCUUCUAAAGAGCCAACACUAACAUGGGCAAAUUAAGUUCAUAUGAUCUUAUUUGAUCGUCUAAUGAGCUCUCUUAAUAUAUACCACAUAAAUGAAUUCAACUCUUUCUUUUUUGGUUUCAAGAGCACGAAAUUCACACGCACUAAAUACAUUGAAAAGAAUGGUUAAGAAGCAAAAGUUUGUUACCGUUCUAUUGAUUUACUCUUUUAGAGAACGGUUUUUUUUUUUUUUUUCUUCUUUUCAAUCCAACCUCAAUGGCUUCCCAGAUCAAUAACUCUGAGGUAAUGAAGUCAAUUACACAUGAGGUAAUGGAGUUAGGCAAUGUUUGGAUAAACAACUUCAUUUACAAUUUAUAGCUUAACCACUUAUAAUAUAAGCUCUUAUGAAUAAAAUGAUAAAAUAAAGUCAAUUUGUUUUUUGUAUAAGUUUUAAGUUGUUUUCAUAAGCUAUCUUGGAGAAUUUAUGUAAAUAAGCUGAAAACAGCUUAACAAGAUGUAAUAAGUUGUUUAUUUCAGUUUUCUCUAACAAUCUCACCAGUGCUUAUGCCAGUAGAUAAGCUAAAAUAAGACAAUCCAAACAUGCUCUAAGUAUGUUUAUUAUUUUGGAAUAUUUGUUAACUUGUUGGAAUAUAGUGACAUUGUGACAACCACAUCCCGAAUUUUGUAGGAUGUUGGACGACUUCAUGCUAGACAUAUCAAAACAAUGUCCUCAAUUGAUAUUGGUAAAUGAGAGAGACUCUAGAACAUAUAUUUUGGUCAAAUUUAUUUAGAAAUAAUCUUUGAUCAUAACAAUAUGAUUUUUCUUGUAGAAGAAGUAAAUGAAGAAGGGUAUCAAAGCUCGAGAGCACAAAGUUCUGUUCAACAGGAUCACAAGUAAGUUGCACAUAUCUUCAAAUUGCUGUAAAACAUAGAUUUUUCAUGUCAUGAUGCAUUCUACUAUGGUUGCUGGUGUGACCUUUUAUCAUCAUCCUCAUCAAUUUAUCUGCAUAAUUCCUUUCUUCUCUUACCUCAUCCUGCUCUCUUACACCAUCUCCUGCACUAAUUUAAGUUCCUAUACUUAGCUCUCUAACUCUCGGAUAUUGAAACCCUAGAUUAUCAAAUUACUUUUUUUUUUCUUUCCAGCAUGAUGUAACAUGUAUUUUUUUUUUUUUUUUUUGUAGAUAGACGAAAUGACAAAGCCAUUAUAAAUUCACACACACAAGUGGAGGUACCGGGGUUCGAACCCCUGUCAUGGCAUCCGGCCUAACAAUUUCAGUAUUUUGCCAGUUGAGCUAGGACUUUUGGAUGUAUUUGUUUUUAUUUUUCAAUUGAAUAAAUACUUGUUAUUUAACACUACUUAUAGCCCAACUCAUUCUUUUCUUCUACAAACAUAUAAGCUAAGAGGAGCAUAAAUUGAAAGCAAGAUUUCCACACAAAAAAAUUAGCCUCUAUGGCACAUUUGUUGGAAUUCAAAGAGAUCGUUAAUUGUUAAAGAUAGUCCUAGAAGGAUUUCUUAAAGAGUACUUGAGAGUAUAUAUCAUUUAUUAGUUAUAGGGAGUACAUUAGGUGAUGUUAGCAAUUGGGUAUUGGAGGUUUAACAAUAAAGCAACAUGUGUUAGCAAUUGUUAAACAUUAUUUUAUUUUACACUUCUGAUUCGUUCUAAUUGCUUAAAUGGUCAGAAAUUAUAUUUUCUAUAAUUUAUAUUUUUAUCGUUUUGGAAUGCAAUGAAGAGCAUUAUUAAUUUUAAAUCAAUCAAUCAAUUUCCCGCGGAUUUACCUGCAGUUUUCUGUUUACUUGAUAUCCUUUCAUGCGGAUUCUCCUGCGUAGUUUGCUGCCGAAAUACCUGCAAGUAUAUUCGCAAGAAAGUGCUAACGGGCUGGACACUUCCAAACACUGACCUAAUACUUCUUGCGGAUCCUAAAAUCCUAUGGAAACAAUUACCCAAGGUGUUACAUGAGAACCUAAAUUCUUGAUGAAAUCCGCAGGAACUGUUUUACCAGCGGAAUUUUCAUUAAACUCCGUAGGUAAUUCUGUAGGAAAACCAAGACUUUCAGUUGUGAUAGUAUAUACUCACUUAAUAUGGGGCGGACGACAUAAUUGCCACAACAAAGAUGAGAGAAGUAGUGCAUUGAAGCACAAAGACAUAACACAACUUGGUUUUCAUCCUUGUUACAACACUGCAUUCAGAUGCCAUUACAUUAAUAUCAUGCCAUUACUUGGAUAUAAAUUAACAUAUAGAGCAAAUUGCACUUACCUCCCUUGAGGUUUUAUUAAAAAACAUUGGGAUAAUAAUGUUUUUCACCCUUGUAAUAUAUGUCAUUUCCGGUUUUCGUCCCUAUAAAAUUUUCAGUUUGAUUUGCACCGUCGUAAAAUAUUUAUUUUCCCACUAACUUUUCCGUCUCUUUUCACGGUGCUUAUACUGCUUACCAAAAUCUUUCCCUUCAUCUUCAUCCACAGUUUUUAGAAAUUCUCUAGCACACCAGUUCAAUAAACACAACCAUUUAAUUGUUUUUCCAAUUUUCAGUAUUCCUUCAUCUCUUCAGCUCUCUUUAUCGUGUUUCCUUCACCAUCUCUUCAAAGCUCUACGAAGUUUAGAUGAUCUGAUGCUUUUUUUGAGUUUUGAAACUUCAUAUUUCAUUUAUUUUCUUGUUGUGAUAUUCUUCUUCAAUUUUAUUUUCUGAAUUUAUUGUUCAAGUUCUUCGACAUGGUGCUUAUUAAUUUGGAACAUAAAGUGUUUAUUGAUUUGUCUGAGUCAAAUCUAUUUUUCUUAUCAUCAAGCAAUAGAACUGAAGUUGUAUUUCGAAUCAAUGGAACUUGAGACUAGUAUGUAAUUAAAUAUAUACAUGUAGUGCAUGGUUGUUGUUUCUAUGAUAAUGCAUAAAAGGUGUUUUGAUUUUUCUCAAUCAAACAAGGAACGUCCCUUAUGCAAGUUAAUAGAUACUCCUAACACAAUUUUGUUUGUUAUCCUCACUAAAAAAUAAGCAAAUUAAAGGAACAUCCAUUUUGUUUGUUUUAUCACGACUAAAAAAAUUGGCAAAUUAUACGAGAGUAGCAAUGGUGUGAAGAGAAAAUGUUAGUCAUGUUAACAAUGUUAAGUCAAGGGAGGUAAAUGUCUUUUCCGAACUAGAGGGAGUGUGAGUGUCUUUUUUUUGUUGUUGUGGUGGUUAGGGUUCGAACCCCCAAACCUUGCAUAUAUUAUGCAUUGUCCUUACCAACUGAGCUAAGCUCACGAGGACGGAGUGAGUGUCUUUUAAUAAAACCUAAGGGCAGGUGAGUGCAAUAUGCUCUAAAAUAUACGUUAAAAAAUUUAAAACAUGCCUUUUUUUUAUGUAUUUUGUACAAUGAAUAUAUUUUAUAUGAGGUGUGUUAUUUGAACAACCAUUUGAUUAACAACUUAUUGAAAAACCAUAGAUUUACAAAGAAAAAUCAUGUAUUGACACAAAAAUAAAAGCAAUAGAGAUAAAGUAAACAUAUAAUGUAAGUAUGAGAAAGAAAUUUGUCACAAAAAUUAUGACAAAAUGGUUGUACAAAUACAUUUCUGUUUUAUAUCUAUAAGUAUAUUAAACAAUAAAAUAUAGUGUGUCUUGAUUUGUAUAUGUUCCUACAAUAGUUUAUUUGCUUGAUUUUGCAAUAAGGUCAGUACACGGUUUCUGUGUGGUCCGAUUUCAGAUUGCAAAACAGUUUAUGAGGCAUAUUUGACUUUUUACUCUUUAUUUCAAUGUUUUUCCUGUUCGAAAUUGACAUUAUUAAGCGUGAAGUAUCAGUACAAAACAUGUCACUUGUUCGAAAUUGAAAUUUUUAGUUUCUUAUAAAAAUAAAUCGGGACAUUCCUAAAAAUUGAAAAUAAAUUGGAACAAAUUUUUUUUAAGGAAAAUAAAAUGGUAUUAGACUUUCUAUUGGACAAUUUUGAACCAUAAUAUUGCUAAUGUGGCGCUCCACCUGUCGUGUGGUUAAAAUAAACCAAAAGGUCAUUUAAGACUUUCAAUGCAAAAGUUAUACUUUCGUUUACUUAAACAAUACCUCAAUCACACUUGUUAACAUUUCUUUUCUUUUUUUAUACAAAUAUCCUCUCCAUACAUAAUACCUUACUUUUUUGAAUAGGUCAGGAGGUAGAACAGAGACAAUUUUGAAAUUCCAAAUAGGUUGACACCCUAAAAGACCCUUAUCCUAUACGGCCUAUCUAAGAAAAUUUUUAUUGAAAAAAAAGGAAAACACAAAAGCCAAACACAAAAGAAAAAUUCAAUUCACCAUUGAAAAGUUCUAUAACUUUCCAUCACCUCCUCCUUUUUCACCACCUCCUUUUCCUUCAACGGGAAGGGGUAUUUUGUAUCCACCACCGCUCCCUUUUCCACCUUUACCACCCUUUCCACCGCGACCCCACCACCAACUUGUUCCCCAACCUGGCCCCUUCUUCCAUGUAUUGUCGACAUACCCUUUUCCACAAUGACCCUCUAUUCCAUCAACAAACCCAUCAAUGUUUUUCCCUUUUUUGCCAUUCCAGAUUGCACCUAAGCCCGACCAGUAUGCACAACAAUCAACUCCAAUGUUAGUAUUUGAUUUUUCUACUUCCCAAUUUGAAAAUAAAUAUUUUUUAGGCGUAAAUAUGUCAUUGAUCCCUGCUCUUUCACCAUAUUUUGGCAUUGGUCCCUGUACUUUUAAAAGUUUUACUAUUGGUCCUUUUGUUAAGUCCAAGUUAAAAAAAAAACCGACGAUGCACCACUAUGGGGACCUAAGUGCCAUUUUCCGCAUUUAUUACUCGCACUUUAACUAUGAAGGACAAUAAAAACAUCACGAUUGGAAUAAAACUAUGGUCCAAAAUUUUUCAAAUCAACUCAUCAAAUAAUAUGAAUCGUAGUAUUUAGCCAAAUAAAAAACAUUCAUAUUAUCCCCCAAAAAUUGUACGCCAGCAUGAGGGAGUGGUUACUGUGUUAAAUUGUUUUUAGAUUUAGGCUUAAAUAGCUAAAUAAAUUAAUUAAUUAUACACCAAAAAUACAUAAAUUAUUUAUCAUAUUUGGGUUGCUGGCCUGAGUAGUGUAGUACCUUACCCGUGCCCUUACCCAUUUAAAUUUACGAGUAAUUAUCUAGACCCAAGCCCGGACCCAUGAAAGUGGGGUUUUAUCCUACCCAUUGCAAGUAUUUUUUGCAGUUAUCCAUCGAGUCUAGGUCCAAUUGCCAUCCCUAGUGCCACGUGGAACAAUCAUCCACACCACAUGGCACACCAAAAGACAAAAAAAAAAUCAACUUUUUAUCUAUUAUUUUAUUCAUUAUUUUUUGAUUUAAACAUAUCAUGUCCCUGCACUUUCGGUACUUUUUGAUAUUAAUCCCUGUACUUUUCGAUAAAAAUCAUUUUUGUUCAUUAAAAAAUUAAAGCUUUUUAUUAAGAAAAAUUUAAAAAAAUAGAAAAAUAAAAGAAAAACAUAAAAUUAAAUCUUUUAAAGGAUAAUUUAAAAAAUCUUUUUAUCUCGUUAAAGAAACAUAAUCCUGUGGACCAAUUAUUUUUUAAAAGAAUAAUUAUAAAAUCAUUUUUGUUCAUUUAAAAAGGAUUUUUUUUUAAUUUUAUUUCUUUAUAAUUAUUCUCAAUAAAAAUAAUGAACAGGAUGAUAAUAAAAUAUAAUAAUAUUAUUUAAAGUUUUUCAAAAAAUGCAAGGACCAAUAAUAAAAAGUACUGAAAGUGCAAAGACUAAUGCUAUUUUGAAACUAGAUCAAAUUUCAACCAAAAGUAAGUUUCAAUCGCCCCCUUGCAAUAUUGUACCUCUGCCCAGUUUGCAUAUCCAUGUACCCCAAUAUUUAUCUUUGAUUUUUUUGUUUCACCAGCUACAAAUAUAAAAGACUUCUUAUUAAAUAUAAAAGAAUAAAACAACUGUGCAUAUAUGAAAACUACUAUAUACAUAUACAUUUUUUUUGAAGGAAUAUAUAUGUACAUACAUUGUUUACCUUCGGAAGGCAUAAUUGCCACAAGAAAUAUGAGAAGUAAUGCAUAGAAGCACACAGAGACAAACAACUUGGUUUUCAUCCUUAUUUCAACAAAUUGAAAGUAUCUUGUGAGAUAUGAUGAACACAAUAAAAAACUAUAUAUAUAAUGACCAUGAGACACUAACUAUAAGUCAAAAACUAUAUAUAAUGAUCAUGAGACGCUAACUAUAAGAGGUCCAGAAAGAAUACGAGUAGAUAAAAUACAUUGUACAACAAAAAAAGAAGAUAAUAUAUCUUGAUCAACAAAAAAAUAUAGAAUAUAAUAUUUUGUUAACUAAUUGCAAGGAUAAUUGGUUAUCAGCAUCUAUUGAGUAAUGAAAGGUUAAAUUGGGGAAUGUUUGUUAACCAAAGUAAGCAAGAUUGAGACAAUGACAAAUAGCAAACCACAGUGGCAACAAAUUCUCAUAUUUUUUUUAGAAAAAUGAUAAUCAUUGCGAAGAACAAAUUGUUGUUUAUUCCAUAUGAUUUAUACCAUGCCAUAUUUUUAAGAAAUUGAUAUAAUAUAUAACCAUUUAUUUUUAUUUCUUAAAUUGAAUAUUAAUAUACCACAAGUAGAACUCUCAAAAUGGUUUAGACCCACCACACCUCUAUUUUAGGGUACUAAAAAAAUUAGUUUGUAAAAUAGUUUUAUCAUGUAUGGUUGAAUUUUACUAUCUCCGAGAUUCACUUUGUGAGUUGUGUAAAUACUCUCUACUUUUGUAUUGAUGUUUUUGUGUUAUUUAUCCGUUAUAGAUGUUGAUUUAAUAGAUGUUUUAAAUAAAAUUUAACUAAGUUUAUGAAAACAUGUGAUUUAUUUGAUGAAUAAUAAUUUAUGUAAUAUGUUUCUAUUAAAAAAAUAUAUGAUAUGUAGCUUUAUUGUUUAUUACAUCUAUUUUUUUUUUUGAAAAAAAAAUACAUUUUGAAAUACGAGUUAGGCUGACCCAUUGGACCGUGUAGCUCACUACAAAUUGGAUUGGGCUCAAUUUUGGUGCACAUCAAUCAAGUGGACAGACCCACUCCAAUACCGAACCAAGGCGAGUUGGGCUGGACUGGCCUAUUUGACAGCUCUACCCACAAGCAACCAACAAACAAGCUAAUAUAUCUAGUCUUUUUGGUCGAACCUUAGGCUUUAUUUAGACAGAGCGAAGUGAGAAUGAGUUUACUCUUAAGAGAAAUGCUAGAGGCACUAUCUUUUCAACACUCACUUUCUAAUUGGCUUAAACCAAUGUGUGACCCACCACUUUAAGUGGAACCCAUUUUAAAGUGUAAGACCCACCAUGAUUUAAGCCAAUUAAAAAGUGAGUGUUGGAGAGAAUGUUGAAAAGAGUGUCCUAAAGAGCCAACACUAACAUGGGCAAAUUAAGUUCAUAUGAUCUUAUUUGAUCGUCUAAUAAGCUCUCUUAAUAUUAACCACAUAAAUGAAUUCAACUCUUUCUUUUUUGGUUUCAAGAGUGUAACGACAAAAUUCACACGCACUAAAUACAUUGAAAAAAAUGGUGAAAAAGCAAAAGUUUGUUACUGCUCAAUUGGUUUACUCUUUUAGAGAAAUGUUUUUUUUCUUUUUCUUUCAAUCCAACCUACAUGGCUUCGCAGUUCAAUAACUCUGAGGUAAUGAAGUAAAUUACACAUGAGGUAAUGGAGUCAACUUAAUUUACAAUAUAGCUUAACCACUUAUAAUAUAAGCGCUUAUGAAUAAAAUGAUAAAAUAAAGUCAAUUUGUUUUUUGUAUAAGUUAUAAGUUGCUUUCGUAAGCUAUCUUGGAGAAUUUAUGUAAAUAAGCUGAAAACAACUUAACAAGAUGUAAUAAGUUUAUUUAAGUUUUCUCAAACAAUCUCACCAGUGCUUAUGCCAAUAGAUAAGCUAAAAUAAGACAAUCCAAACAUCUUCUUAGUAUGUUUAUUAUUUUGGAAUAUUUGUUAACCACAUCCCGAAUUUUCCUUUAAAAAAAAAAAAAAAAAAAAAACCACAAUCCGAAUAUUUUAGGAUGUUGGACGCCUUCAUGCUAGACAUAUCAGUACAGUAUCCUCACUUGAUAUUGGUAAAUGAGAGAGACUCUAGAACAUAUAUUUUGGUCAAAUUUAUUUAGAAAUAAUCUUUGAUCAGCAAUUAUUUUGUUCAACACUUCCAAUUCGUUCUAAUUGCUUAAAUGGUUAGAAAUUGUAUUUUCUAUAAUUUAUAUUUUUAUCGUUUUGGAAUGCAAUGAAGAGCAUUUUUUUUUUUUUAAAAUAAAUCAAUCAAUUUCCUGUGGAUUUACCUGCAGUUUGUUGUUUACUUUGAUAUUGUUUCCUGCGGAUUCUCCUGAGUCGUUUUCUGCCGAAAUACCUGCGAGUUUGUUCGCAAGAAAGUGCUAACGGGCAGGACACUUCCCAAACACUUACCUAAUACUUCAUGCGGAUAUACUUUUUCUGUGGAUCCUAAAAUCCUUGAUAAAAUCCGCAGGAAAAGGAUUAUAUGCGGAAUUGUCAUCAAAAUCCGCAGGUAAUUCUGUAGGAAAAUCAAGACUCUCUAGUAGUGGUAAUAUACUCACUUAAUAUGGGACGGACAUAACUGCCACAACAAAGAUGAGAAGUAGUGCAUUGAAGCACCCAGAGAUAACACAACUUGGUUUUCAACCUUGUUACAACACUGCAGUCAGAUUUCCUUAAAAAAAAAACACUGCAGUCAGAUGCCAUUACAUUAAUAUCAUGCCAUUAAUUACUUGGAUAUAAAUUAAAUAUAUGUUAAAAAAAUUAAGAACAUGCCUUUUUUAUGUAUUUUGUUGUACGAUAAAUAUAUUUUAUAUCUAUAAAUACAUUAAACAAUAACAUAUAGUGUGUCUUGAUUUGUAUAUGUUCCUACAAUAGUUUAUUUGCUUGAUUUUGCAAUAAGGUCAGUACAUGGUUUCUGUGUGGUUUACCGACCCACUGCCUACAGUAAUUAACAUAUGUAAAGAAGGUAAAAGUGUCCGAUUUCAGAUUGCAAAACAAUUUAUGAGGCAUAUUUGACCUUUUACUCUUUAUUUCUAAUACAAAUGAAAUUUUAAGCAAGAAUGUAACUUAUUAUUCCUUAUUCAAUCAAGAAGAAAGUUGUAGUCUAAUACUUCAAUUAUGUGUGGUGCAUAUUAUUGCUUCAUGCUAUAACUAAAGGUUGAUGCUUUGUGUUACAUUUCUUACAACAUUGAAUACUGUAUCAACAUGUAAUACAUCUUACAUGUAAAUGUACUAGUUUUGUAUGGACUACACUUUCCUACACUUGACUUAUAUCCCACAUUUCUCUAUUCAUUGCCGCCCGCAUUUCCACUGGAUCCUCCCAAAUUUCCACGUCCACCCCCUUUUCCACCGCCUGGAAAGUGAACGACGUUUCCUCCGCCACCUUUGUGUCCAACAGCAGGAGAGUUUACCGCAUUUCCCAUGACGGGAAAGUGUACGAUGUUUCCAUUGUCCUCCUCUUUUUGACUGUCAAGAAAGUUUAUGACAUUUCCACCAACACACUCGUUUGUGUUUCUAUCGCCGCCUUGCAAUACGGUACCUCUGCCUAGCCAGUUUGCGUAUCCAUGUACUACAAUAUUUAUCUUUGGUUUUUCUGUUUCACAAGCUGCAAAUAUAAAAGACUUCUUAUUAAAUAUAAAAGAAUAAACACAAUAUAAUUGUGCAUAUAUGUAAACUAUUUUAUAUAUAUAUACAUUGUUUCCCUUCGGAAGGCAUAAUUGCCGUAACAAAGAUGAGUAGUGCAUAGAAGCACAAAGAGAUAAACAACUUGGUUUUCAUCCUUGUUACAACAAAUUAAGAGUAUCUUGUGAGAUAUGAUGAAUACGAUAAAAAAAACUAUAUAUAUAUAAUGAUAAUGAGACACUAACUAUAAGAGGAACAAAAAAAAAAGAAUACAUUGUACCGUAAAAAAAAGAUAAUAUAUCUUGAUCACCACAAAAUGUAGAAUAUAAUAUUUUGCUAGCUAAUUGCGAGGAUAAUAGGUCAUCAACAACUAUUGAGACAUGAAAGGUUAAAUUGGGGAAUGUUUGUUAACCAUAGUAAGCAAGAUUUCAGGCAAUGGCAACCAAUUCUCAUUUCUUUAGAAAACAUAUAAUCAUUGUGAAGAACAAAUUGUUGUUUAUUCCAUAUGAUCUAUACCAUGCCAUAUUUUUAAGAAAUUGAUAUAAUAUGUUACCACUUAUUUUCAUUUCUUAAAUUGAAUAUUAAUAUACCACAAGCAACCAACAAACAAGCUAAUAGAUCUAGUCUUUUUUGGUCGAACCUUAGGCUUUAUUUAGACCGCGUGAAGUGAGAAUGAGUUUACUCUAACAUGGCACGUUGGAAACUAUACUCUUCACGUACAUGUUAACUUGUGUGAGUUUACAUUAUCUCAUAACGAGCCACCACUGACAUGGACAAAUUAAGUUCAUAUGAUCUUAUUUGACCGUCUAAUGAGCUCUCUUGGUAUUAACCAUAUAAUUGAAUUCAACUCUUUCUUUUUUGGUUUUAAGAGCCCAACAAAUUCACACCCACUAAAUACAUAGAAUUAUGAGCUCGAACCCUCAACUUAUAAUAUUAAACUAAAAUAUUAUGAAACACUAUGACGCUUUCCAUGAGCACCAAUUGCCAUUUGUAUUCGUGUGAUAGUAUCUUUUUCUUGAAAAAGAAAACUGGGUGUUAAUGUUUAAAUGACAAUAUCAAGUAUUGAAGGGGAAAAGUGUCAAAAAAAAUCACUGAAAAAGUUAAAAAGAGAAAGUUGCUCUUGGUGACAUUUUAGAAAGAACAUUCUCAUUCAUUCUUUCAUUUAUAAAAUCGUGCACAAAUAAGUUUCACCAUUAGAUCAAUACUCCUUCCGUUCUUAAAUAUAAAUAUAAAUAAAUUUGAUUUUUUAGGUUCAUUCAAUUAAUGAUAUAUGUGGUUCAUAUUAUGUACCACAUACAUCAUUAAUUGAAUGAACUUAAAAAAUUAAAUUUGCUUAUAUUUAAGAAUAGAGUGAGUAGAUCCAUUUGAAUCAAAUUAAAUGAGAUAUGAUGUGUCUUAUUGAUCCAAUAAUAAAAACAAAAAUGUGCAUAUAUAAUGUAAGAUUAUUUUACCUUUUAGUCAAUAGACAAAGUCUAUAACAAAAGAUACUUAUAUUUUGAAUUUUUCUAGUGAUUGGCAUAACUUUUGCCUAAAAGGAGAAGACAAAUAAAUAUUAAGCUUGGCCAAACAUACUUGUAAAGCAUAAAGAACCCCAUAGUGAAUAUACUAACAUAUUAUUCAUUCCUACAUGUUCUAUAAAAUAUGUUUUUGUUAAUCCUAAAUGAUAUAUUAAUAGAGUAGUGCACCCUAUUGCGAUAUUAACAAAAAACUAAAUUUAAAUUGUUAGGAAUAAUAGAAGAAGAGAGUUAUUCUAUCAUGACAAAAAUUAUUGAUCUGAAAGCAAAUUUUGAUGGAUCUUCCAUGCACCCAAUAUCUAGUUUGCUAUCGUCAGAAGAACGGUGGAGUCACACAAACAAUCACAAUGCAAAAAAAAAAAAAAAAAAGAAACUAAAUUGAUGAAGAUAUAAAUGGUAGUUUAUUUUAUAAUAAUAUAAAAGAGACUAAAAACUACACUAAAAUUAUUAUAAUAACAAACUAAUUUCUUCAUUCAUUUCUUUGUCUCGGGACUAAUAAAACAGUGCAAAAUUUUGAUUAAAUUGUGGCAUUUGCGUCUUAUGGUUAAAUUGGUUAUCAUGAAACAAAAAUCCUUGGGACAUAUCAGUAGAUGUCACCAAAGGAAGUGACGCAGUUGCAUCUUGUACGUUAUUAUCCAAAAUGUCAUUUCCUUGGGAAGAAAAACUAUCUUCUACGUCAACAUUUGUUAGAACAGAAUUGACGUCGAAUCCAUUGCGGUACUAGCAACACCGAAACAAGUGCCUGCAUAACUAGACAAUUUCUCUGCACAAUUUGUUCUACUUUUAUUAGAAGUGUCGUUGGAUUUACUCAGAUUAUCCCUUCUUAACAGCAUACAUCCCAUUCUUAAAGUACCUGCAACAUGGUACGUUGGAGGCUGUUACAGAAGGGUUUGAUUUUUAGACGAUUUCAGAGUAUAGACGGCACCCAGGAACCGAGGAACAAACAUUGGAUCUCACACCAACUCAUAGUUGGUUCUGAUUUAUGUAUGUUCUAUUAUUUCUAUGUUAUUAAUUGUUUUGGUUAUGAGUAGCUUAGCUUUUAGAUUCACUAAGCAAUGAGAUGAAUAUGUUGCAAUCAAUGAACAUAUAAUUUGUUAAGAACUCUCUUCCACAUCUAAUCUUUAUUUAAAAUUGUUUGUGUUUAAUGAUUUUCAUAUAAUUGUGUAUGACUACUAGCUCUACCUUUUCAGUUGUAUGAAUUGAUCUUAGACUUUAAUUGACUACUAGUCAUAGCUGUUAAAUCUAAACUAAUGAUUCUGUUUAACUUUACAUAUUAAGAUAGAGAUAGAAAAUUGUGAGUUAUGACUUAGGGAUUAACAAACUAAAGAUUGCUUCCGCAAUUAGGAAUGGACUUAAGAGGUUAUAACUUAGGAAAUAGUUUUGAGUCAAAAGAUUGAUCAAAACUAUUAGGUUAAUCCGUCGUAAAGUUAGGUGAACAUUGAGAGAGAAGAGGAGCAAAUUAUUCACAGUGCGCAACAGAGGAUUCGAAAGUUUGUUCAUCUGUUUUAAUCUAAUUUUCAAACCAAUUUAAUUACCGUGUAAUAAGUUUAAUGCAACCGAUCCAACUGCCUAGUGCAACCACCCAAUUUAACAUAUCCUUUAAGUUAACAAAAUUGUUGAGUAGAAAUUAACAACGGUCCUCGUGGAUGCAAAUUUUAUUAUUACUUCGAUAGAUUAGGUACACUUGUCAAAUCAAAUCAAUUCAUCGUCGAGAAUUAAAUAGUAUAACAUAGGAAGAUCUUUUAUCCAUACCAAAAAAAAAAAAAAAUUACUUUCUGAUGCAAUGAAAAUUUCCUUUUUCUUUCAACCUUUACCUUAAACUAAAAAAGAAAAAAGGAAUCCCUGUUAGAAAAGAAAUGAGAUUUUUUUUUUCUUUUUUAUUUCCUUUCACAUACGAAAUCAAUUGAUAUUUUUUGGAUCUGUAUCCAUCGGGACUGACGGGACUCGAACCCGCAGCUUCCGCCUUGACAGGGCGGUGCUCUGACCAAUUGAACUACAAUCCCAGGGAAAAAGUUGUAUAGCAUACAUAUUCUUACUAUUUCAUUCAAACCCUUUGUUUUUCUAUUUUAGAUUCGAACCCCUGUACUGUAACUGAAAGAGGCAGACUUAUAUAUUGAUAUUUUUAUGGGUCUGCACUUUAGCGAGAUCGACACGGAUUAUUCGCAAUCCGUUCCUUAUUGCUAACUUGAUUGAAAAAUCAAUGAAUCAAGGAAACAAAAAAGACUCUUUUUUUACUUGAAUGCUUUCCUAAGACUUUAUAUUUUAAAAUCCCGAUAGGAAUUUUUCAAUAAAUAGCACUCGAGAUUUUAUUCUUCUGUAUGGGAGCCCAUUGGUGAUUUUCAGAGAACACCAAAUGGGUUAUAUCAUUGCAUGGUGGAUCAGUAAAUUUUUGGGCCGAGCUGGAUUUGAACCAGCGUAGACAUAUUGCCAACGAAUUUACAGUCCGUCCCCAUUAACGGCAUCGACCCAGGAAGAAUCAAUUUUAGUCUUUAUUGAUAAUCCUUGAUCAAUUUCCUUUUGUAGUACCCUACCCCCAGGGGAAGUCGAAUCCCCGUUGCCUCCUUGAAAGAGAGAUGUCCUAAACCACUAGACGAUGGGGGCAUACUUGCCCGACCUCAAUUCUACUAUGUUCAUACAUAGUAUGAACAGUUUUUUGAAAUUGUCAAUAUAAUGAUAUGAUUCGAUCAGAAGGAUCUUUUAGAAUUCCUUAAAAUUUAGAUUUCGAAAUUGUUCAUUCCAAUCACCAAUCUAUAAAACUAUAAAAAAAAAAAUAAUCUACUCUUAAAAAAAGAAUGUGAAAGAAAACAAAAGAAAGAGAGAAUCCUUUCAGGGAAUGAUUGAUUUUCUGGAACAGGCACGGCAUUAACACCUCAUUUCUUUCACUUUCAUUCAGUGUUAAGAAGAUUGAAUUAGUGGGUACAUGUAUCAAUGAAAUGAAUUUUGUGUUAUGAUGAAGAUGAUUUCAAUUCGAAUCGGUUUUGAAAAAAUCCAUUCCAUUGAUAUUUUUCAAAUCCAAUAUCAAAAAAUCCUUUUUUUAACUAUACUUACUAGGUAAAUCCAAUUUAUUGUUCGUUAAAAAGUUGCUAUGUAAAAAAAAAAGAUCUAUUCUAUAUAUAUAAUUUAAUAUAUAAUUUAUAUAUAAUUUGAGUAUAUGCAGUAACAAAUAGAUGUACUAAACUCAUAUCCAUAUUGGAUGGUUCCUUAUUCGGGAAUUGACUCAAAUGGAGCCCCUUUAACUCAGUGGUAGAGUAACGCCAUGGUAAGGCGUAAGUCAUCGGUUCAAAUCCGAUAAGGGGCUUUUUUGUCAAAAAAUGACAACAGUAGUAUUCCGAUUUGAAGGAAGAAUAGAGAUAUUCUUGAUAUUUGUAAGAAGUUUCUCUUUGUAAAAAAAACUAUACCUAUCAAGUUUUUUGCGCCGUUGUUGGGGACGGUUGAAUCAUUUCGACUUGACAAUUUUGUUAUUAUUUAGGAUUCAUGUCAGUUACAUUUUUUGUAUUUAUAUAUUGAAGAAAAAAGUAUGAUUUAUGCUCUUCAUGUCUAUUAUAUCAUUCUUUGCUACUAAAAAAUAUAUACAAGUUUUCUAGCAAUGAUAGACAUGAUCCAUCUAGGUGAUACAUAAUAGGUUUUUAUGGGGAAAAUCAUCAUAAUGGAUAUUGUGAAGGGAAGAAAGAGGUGAUCUACAUCGAUUACAACUCUCAACUUUAAAAUAUUUUAGAUGAAUUCUUGAGGUUAAAUCGAGUUUCAUUUGAUAAAACUGAAGUUCAGUGUGGUGGUUUUGUUGAGAAAGUAAAUGAACAUGAGAAGAAGUUUGUUGAGAUAAAGACCGAGUGUCAUGCUAUUGUGGUGGAAGAAAAUCCGCAAGUAAGGAGUGUUGGUCUCUACCUGAAGUCUCAUUCAAUGGGGUUAAGGGAAACCAUUCAAGUGCAAAGGGAUACAUAUUCCUCUCUAUGGUGGGAAAGCUCAAAUGACAAAGGUUUAGCAGUUAGAGCAUGGAAGCAUUUGUUGAUUUGCAUGAAGUUCAUGGAAUUUCUACCAAACAACAGGAAGAAGAAGGAUGAUGCGUUCUUUAUGUCAUACAUGCCACCCUAAAAAUGGUUAAGACGUCAAGCUUAAUGACAAAAAAUAAAGCGCUUGAUGGGAGGCAACCCAUCAUAUUUCUAAUAUUUGUUAUUUGGAUGUUCUUUUUUUUAUUUUGAGUCGUAUGUUAGACAUUGUGUGACCGUGUCAGUGUUAUGUUCUAUUGUAUUCCUGUUAUGUACUGCACAACUUUGUUUAUUAUUAAAGAAUUUGCUUGUUUUUUUGGAAAUCUAUCAGUCUCAUAACAGAUGCUUAUACCAAUGAUAUUUCAAAAGAGGGGUGAUGCCGCAUGGAACUUCAACAUGAAGUGUACGGCAAUUGGAAGUUAGGAAGCCACAAAUCCCAGAAAAUUUAACUUGUAAGGUCCAUAGCCAAAUUUUAUUUUUUCAAUUUUACAUAUAUGAGUGUUUCAUGCACCUAUCAUUUCUAAAACUUUCGAUGUUUCUCUAUUUUGUUGAUUGGUCUUGUUUUGUACACACUAAGGUAAAAUGCUUUUUUACCUAAAGACUCUUUUAGCCCACCUUGAAUUUUAUGUUUAUAUUUAUCUUUUGUAAAGCAAAAUUGAGCCUUUAGGAUUAUACCUCAUUGUUCGGUGACUAACCACAUUACAAACCUAGAACUAGAAGACCUUAAGUGUGAAUGACCCUAAUUUUUUUUUGGAGUUAAGCUUUUUAGGUUGUGUGUAAUGUUUAAGUUUGGGAUUCCUGUUGGAACUACCAACAUUCAAUGUUUGGGGUAGGGGUACUAGAGAACCUAAGAGAUGGAAAAUGUCUCUUGAUAAUUGGGGGGGAGGGGGGAUUUGGUAUUGAUUAUUUUUCUCACUGACAGCAAAGUAGAAUGAGCUUAACUCCAUUGUUUGUUUAACACUACUUUCCCAAAAAUAUCCCAAGUUACCUACUUAAGCCCCAUUAUAACCCAAAAAGUCCUUAAAAGGGUGUACUUGACAAUGAUUUUGAUUGACAGUUUAGAAAUGUUUCAAACCUAUCAUAAUAUGGUAGACCUGCAUGUCGAAUGUGAGAACUCUUUUCAAAUUUGUGCCAGGAGUUGUGGAUAAGGAGGAUCGAGCAAGGCAUACAAUACAUAAUUACACCGAUCAGGAGUGAAUUUUUGAUAAUACCAUUGGUUGGUAAGAUAUUAUAUUACUGUUAUUUUCUAAUUUAUAAGUAGAUUCCUUGAGAACUAGGAAUGAUGCAGGUUUUAGGUUGUGACGAUAUUAGGUCAUACUCAUGUUUUUAGUUUGUUUUUAUUCCUUUUUUAGUAAGUUAGAACGUCUUUUUCAUGAAUUGCAUGAUGAAACAAGCUGAUAGUUGUCAAAAGUGUUAAGAGGUCAUAUGGCUAUGAAAUGGGCAAGUUUUGCACAAUUUUGAGAAGAUUUUGGAAGCUUUAGCUACUAGAAAAAUCGUGCCACGAUACAGGUCCAUCGUGGCACGUCUGAAGGAGCAUUAGGAUCUGGAGUUUGUUAAUUCCCCGAGGACCAUUGUUAAUUUGUACUCAACAAUUUCGUUGACUUAAAAAAUAUGUUAAAUUGGGGGGUCGCCCUAAGUAGUUGGAUUGGUUGCAUAAAACUUAUAACACAGUAAUUAAAUUGGUUUGAAAAUUAGAUUAAAAACAGAUGAUCAAGCCUUCGAAUCCUCAAGUGUGCAUUGUGAAUAAUUUUCUCAUCUUCUCUCUCAAUGUUCACCUAGCUUUACGAUGAUUUAACCUAAUAGUUUUGAUAAAUCUCUUGACUCAAAACCCUUUCCUAAGUUAUAAUCUCUUAAUCUCUUAAGUCGAUUCGUAACCGCAGAAGCAUACAUUAGUUCGUUAAUCCCUAAGUCAUAACUCACAAAUUUUCUAUCUCUAGCUUAAUAUGUAUAGUUAAAUAGAAUCAUUAGUUCAGAUGUAACAACUAUGGCUAGUUGUCAAUUAAAUUCUAAGAUCAAUUCAUACAACUCAAAUUUUCUUCUUUUGCGUUAGCUUAUAUAGCUCCCUUUCUCAACCCAAUGUCCCCUACUACAAGUUAAUCACGUCAUCUCCUAUUGUUUCCUCCAAUUACGUUAUUCCUUCGUGUACAUGUGUCAUAUGGUUUCUUGUUGUGGCGCCACAUGAACAAAAAGGGCAAUACAUUGACCAAUGAGAAUGCACUUCUGUUAUGUAUAACAAUUGAGAAAGAGGCCUCACGUUACUUCUAUGUUGGAAAAAAUGAAAUACAUGUCCAUUAUGAAACGUGAGUUAACUCACGUUAGAUAGACAUCAAACUGCACUUAACUCGCGUUGGCUCAACGUGACUUAAAUCACGUUGAUGGUAUCCAUAACUUAUGUUGGGGUUAUUUUAGACAGUUUAAGGAGGGAAUGAGCAAAUAUGAUGGGGAGAUGAGCAAUUUUCAGAAUAGGAAACUAUACUUCAAAGCCCAUGUUGGAAAACAUAAGUAUAUGACUAUCGGGUCAAAUAUUCUCCAAGCCCAAAACUUUUAUAUUGGUAAUACACAGCCCUAAUCUCAUAAUAGUGUGUGCCACUACAUUAUCUCCAAUCUCACCUAUACGAUGUACUGUAUUCUGUAUCUUCAUUCCUCACCUUUGAAAUUUAAUCCAAUUUCUACUAGCAAAAGAUCAAAGAAUAAGAGAGAAAUAAGAAUGUUUCUACUUUCUAUUUUUAUUUCUCUACUAUCUUCAAACUUAGAAGAAUGAAGAUGAAAUCUAGGUACCUUCGCUCAUGUCAAAGGACAUUGAUUUCUUUUCUUAUUUUUUCUUAAAAAUUAAAAUGCGAUCCAACCCAUAGAAACGACUAAACCAUCGGUUUUUUGAUUUUUUCCCUAUUGUUGACCGGUUCUUAUACUUGACAGUUUUUAGUACUGAUCAUACUGGAUAUAGGUCCGGUUUCUGGUCCAAUCUAUUGAACAUGUCGGUCCAGUUCGGUUUUAACUACCUUACUAAUAAUAUAUCAAAAUAACUAUUAUAAAAUAAAUAGUUAAAUAGAACAAUAAAUUGUACCAAAAAAUAGGACAACUGAAAGAAGUAAUUAAAUAUAAAUAUGCAAACACUUAUUAUUGACCUAAUACACACGAAAACAUCACAAUAAUUAACUAAUAUAAUAACUAGUGAUUUACUUUACAUUUAUAACAACAUUAAUAUAGUGUGGCAUGGAUACAUCAAUCACACACAAACACAUACUGAUACUACGAAUAUACUAGUCUAAUUUUCCAUGGAGACUUUCCGUACACUUGACUGGUGUCCCUAACUACCCCCAUUUCUACUACUGUAAAAAUAUUUUAUACCAUUUCCACCACCACCCUUUUUCCAUUAUUGGUCUCCUUUCCACCCAUCGAAAAGUUCUAUAACUUUUCAUCUCCGCCUCAUUUUCCACCACCUCCUUUUCCUACUCCGGGAAUGGGUAUUCUGUAUCCACCACCUCCCCCUUUUCCACCUUUUCCACUGCCGCCCCCUUUUCGACCGGUAGUCUGCCAUCCUGUGCCCUUAGUAAUACUAAUAUCCUUAUCCCAUAUUGUUCCAUCGACAUACCCUUUUCUACAAUGAAUCUCUAUUCCAUCACCACAACCGUCAUUGCUUUUCCCUUCGUUGCCCUUCAAAAUUGCACCUAAGCAAGACCAGUAUGCACAACAAUAGUUAGUAUUUGAUUUUUCUAUUUCCCAAACUGAAAAUAAAUAUAUAUAUAUAUAUAUAUAUAUAUAUAUAUAUAUAUAUAUAUAAAGAAAACUACAACUUUCAACACUUUUGAACUGACUUUUUUCUUUUUAAAAAUACCCUCAACUUUCAAUACAAAUAACACACAUAACAAAUAUAUAACAAUAAAUUAGAUGUUAAAAAAUGUGACAAACAUGUUAUGAAUAUCUGUAUGUAUCUGGUUUUUUUCCUUUAUCAUUUAAAAAGUUUAACAAACUAGAUAAAUAAAAUUAUACUCACUUUUCAUUAUCCCAAUUAUACCCUUAAACAACUUUUUCUAUAAUAAAUAAAGAUUGUUGUUGGUGUCAUUAAAAAAAAAUAGAUUAUCUUUUUUUUAUAUAUUGUUGGUGUCAUUUAACUAAAUAAUCAUAGUUAGUUUGGUUUGUUAUUACUUGAAAGUAACAAACAUUUAUAUUUUUAGUUUUAAUAUAAAUCAAAAUUUCAUUCAAAAAAUACCGUUCAUAAUUUUCAAACGUUGGCGUUACCUGUCUUUCCGCUAGAUAGAUAUAAACAAAAGAAAAUAUUUCCACCACCACACUCAUUUGUGUUUCUAUCACCUUCUUGCAAUAGUGUGCCUUUACCUAGCCAGUUUGCAUAUUCAUGUACCCCAAUAUUUAUCUUUGAUUUUUUUUGUUUCACCAGCUACAAAUAUAAAAGACUUCUAGUUAGAUACUCCUUCCGUUUCAUAUGAACCACAUACAUCAUUAAAUGAAUGAACUUAAAAAGUGAAUUUUGCUUAUAUUUAAAAACGGAGGGAGUAUAAGAGUAAUGCUAUCAACACUAUCUUUUGAACACUCUCUCUAAUACACUUAUUUUUUUUAUUGGUUUAAAUCAUUGUGGGUCUACACUUUGGAAAUUGAACAUACACAAAAUUAUGGGACAUACAUUAAUUUCAUCAAAUAAAAUAAUGAGUGCUAAAAUGAGUGUUGAAAGUAAGUGUUACUAGUAGUAUUUCUCUAGAUAUAAAAGAAUAAAAGCAUUGUGCAUAUAUGAAAACUAUUUUAUAUAUAUAUAUACAUUGUUUACCUUCGGAAAGCAUAAUUGCCACAAGAAAUAUGAGAAGUAGUGCAUAGAAGCACGCAGAGACAAACAACUUGGUUUUCAUGCUUAUUACGACAAAUUAAGAGUAUCUUAUGAGAUAUGAUGAACACAAUCAAAAUCUAUAUAUAUAUAAUGAUCAUGAGACACUAACUAUAAGCAACAAAUAAUAUAUAAUGAUCAUGAGACACUAAAUAUAAGAGGACCAAAAAGAACAUUAUUAGAUAGAGUACAUUGUACAGCAAAAAAAAAAGAUAAUAUAUCUUGAUUCUUUGAUAAAAAAAAAUAUAGAAUAUAAUAUUUUGUUAAGUAAUUGCGAGGAUAAUUGGUCAUUAACAAAGUGGACGGUCCCGUCCCGUUUAGGCUCGUCCCGCAUAAGUCUGAUCAAAACGGGAUGAGACGAGACGAUUCAAAUUAGGCGGUCGAGUCUAAAAUUCACCCAGCCCAGUUUAGUGGUGGACAUACGAGUUGGCGGACCGGUCUGUCAAACAAAAAAAAAAUUAGAGGAAAAAACUACAACUUUUUUUAAUGCAUUUUUUUACAACUUAAUUGUAACAAAAAAACUAAGUUGCUUUUAUCACAAAAAAAUAUAAAAGAAUAGACAUCAAAUAAAUUUAUUGUAAAAACAAGAUAAUUAAAAAAAUUGUAACAUAAAACAAAUCCUAAAAUAAAUCCAACAAUCAAAAUAGGGGACUUCUAUGGUACACCCGUAAAUUACGGUGUACCAGUACUCUCGCUUACAAUUUUUAUAAAUUAACUAUCAUUUUUUAUGAAGAAAAUAGGUGUUUGUUGACAUGUAUAUUUUGGAAAAUAUCAUUUUAUAUGAAAGAACAUCAUUUCAUUUUUUAUAAAAAUCAUACUAAUUUUUUUACAUUUUAUGGUAAAAAAAUACUCAAAAUUCUCUAUUAUGAGUAAUAAAAAUUCUGAAAAAUUAAAUUUUAUUGCGUUGACGUUUUUGGUAAAUAAGAUUUAGUUAUUAUAAAUAUAAAUGAUAAAAAAUAAUAUUUUUUCCUCAAAAAACAACUCAUUUAACCAUUAAUUUAAAGAAUGAGUGUACCGGUACACUCAAAUAUAUUGGGUGUACCAUAGAAUUUGCCAUCAAAAUAAAUCAAAAAUGAUAAAAUAAUUCUAAAUAAAAAAAAAAAAGAACAACGAGUUAAGUGGUCUGGCCCGCCCCGCCCUGUUUUUUCAACGAGUUAAGCGGAGCAAGCCAACUAUAUAAAGCGAGUUCAAAAGUUUAACCCAGCCCGUAAAAAAUAGCAGGCUAAACGGGCCGACCCGAUGAUUAGGCCCGUUUUACCACCCUAUAUUUUACGAGUAUUACUUUUUCCACCCUAUGGCCUUCUCGCGCGCCCUAUGCAAAUUACCAACAUGCCCUUCAGAUUAUAUAAUCCGGAUUAUCUAUACGUAUUUCAGAAUAUAGAAUCCGGACAAUUGCGAAGUAUAAAAGGAACUCCCCCCCCCCCCCCCCCCCCCUCCAUUUUUACAGUUUCACUUUCAACAUUCUCUCUCUGUCUUACCAUGAGUUUAAACUCACUUUAUUAAUUUUAAUUAUUUGCAGUGGCGUGGAAAAUUAAAAUGCAUCAGCAACGGAAAGAAGAUAGAAGCAAUGCAUGAUGAUGACACCAGACCUAUCAUGGCUGCACGAUGGUGAGAGAACAGAUUGCUGGGCACCGGCCUUGGUUGGCUCCAGGAUACUAGCUCAGGAGUUGGGAGAGAUUGCAGUUCAUGGUGUGGAGGCAGAAGCAGGAUACAUCGAGUGGUCUUACCAGGUGUCUCAUCCACGCAUGAUUCUUCCCGACAUGCCGAUACCGGUUCCGAGGCCACCGGAGUGUGAGAUCCUUGAUGCGCGAGCUGCUCAGGAGGAAGGAGACCUUGCGUACUUACAACUUAGCGGAAGGAUGAGCCGCAUCAGAGACCACAUCUAUGCUGUGAUGAGAAUUGGUCUGGUGCCAAAAGGGACUGAGGAAUGGCAGCAUCUGGAGGAUGCGUUGAGAGAGGUGCAUGAUGAGAAAGUUUACCGUCGUUGGGGAGCUACUGUGGGUGCCAGAGGUGGUAGAGGUGGCGAUGGUACGGGUGUAGUUAUUAGGGGCUGAUAGUAUUGUAUUGUAUGUUUAUGUUUGAACAUUUUGAAUGCUUUUGAAUUAUGUAACACUUGGAUAAUUUUUAAUUAUAUUUGAUUAAUGUUUUGUUCAAAAAUUAUGUUGUGUUGAUGAUUUUGAUGUUUAGAAGUUCGAUUUACUGUUAGAACAUGUCACCGGCAUGAUAUGUCUAUUUGGAACCAAGCAAAAUGCGCAAAAACAGAGGGCUUCUGCCUCUGUAUUGAUGCAGUCCGGAUUAUAUAAUCCGGACAUGUUUAGCACAUUCCGGAUUAUAUAAUUCGGCAUCAUCGUUCACCCCCCUUUUGUUGACUUUCAACGAGGUGAUUUACACGUUUCAGAUUAUAUAAUCCGGAAGCUAUCUAAGUUUUUCGGAUUAUAUAAUCCGGAACAAUAUAUUCAUAACUGACAUCAUCAUCCAUCAGGGUGGAUCAAGUGCCAAAAUACACGAAUAAAUCCGGAAUUAAUAUUCGGGAAUGGAUUCAGAUUAUAUAAUCCGGACUAGGGGUAUUAUGGGAAAGAAAUAGGGCGCGUGAGGAAAGAUAUAGGGUGGGAAAAGUAAUACUCUUUUAGGGUCUAAAGUCUAUGUUUGUUUAUAUGGUGAAACUACAUUAAAGCCUACGUCCAACUAUAAACAUUUAUUUCUAGCUUUUAUUUUAUUUUAUACUCUUGUGACAAAAUUUCUGGAAAUUUAUUUAGCGUCGCAUUAUAGGCUGACGCAAAUUGGCUGUAAAUUUCAACAAAUUCCUGGAAAAAAUGGAUGUAUUAUAUUGCAUAGAAGAGUGAUUUCAACAAAUUCAUUGACUAUAGCGUUAAAUUUUUCUGUAAAAUUAAUGAGAAGAGAAAUUUUUGAGGUUUGAAAUGAAGAGAAAUAAGGGUCUUUUUACUUCUUGUGUUUCCUGUUUUCAUUUCCAUUGGUAUAUAAAUAUUAGAGAAUACAUAAUGUAAGGUUUUGAAAAUGUUGCAAAGGAGAUUCAACAUUUCUGAAGAUUCUAAAAAAUGUUAAAACAUUGUUCUGAGUAAUUUUAGAACUUUGUUCUCUGUGGUUAGAUUUCGUAUUCUCUCUAUCACAAUUAAAAAGAAAAAUUCCUAACCAAAUGUCAAUUAUAUCAUCCAUUUACUAGACUUUUCUUGCUAGUUUCCUCUACAUGUCCUUUUCAUUUCUCUAUACCACAUGGUUUUACCAAACAAAUGUCGGAACGUGUGCAAUUUGGACUACAACAUAAAGUGUUUUGAUUUGUCAACGCGGUUGGCACAACCGCGAUUGAGGCUACAUCAGAUAUCAUGACACGAUCGCUCUUGUCCACAGCCUCUAUUUAAAAUCCUGGAAACUAUAUGCAAAGGAAUAAUUAUAGUCGAUGAUUGACAGGUACCUUGGAAGCAAGAAGAGGAGCAGUUUCUCUCAUAUCAAAAGCCUUUGCUACACAAUUAGCUAACCUAAGAAGCAUAAAGGCACCACCACCAAUACCACUUGAAGCUGAACUGACAACCCCCAAACAAAGAGCAGCAGCCACAACUGCAUCAACUGCAUGUCCCCCUUCAUGGAUAGCAGCCAUCCCGAUCUUUGAGAAUCGAUGGUCAUCGGCUGCAACAGCUCCAUGAUGAGCAAUGAUUACUUCGUUUCUUGUUUUUGUGAGUCCAUUUUUGGCAGAAGCAUAGGCCAAAUUGGAAACAAAGAGGAAGCAUGUGAUAUUCUCAAUUAUAUACAGGUUACAACAAUAACUUGGCUGAUCACAAAUUAAAGUCAGCACUGAUUCAGAGAGAUAUUCUCAAUUCAAAUUCAAAUAUUGCUAACUGAAAAUCUAUAGAAAAACUGCAUCAGUGAUGACUGAUGAGCAAUUGAAUUCUCUAAUUCAAAGUUAAAUAUUGUUAGAUGAAUAUCUGCACAAUAAUUGCAGCAAUCAGUUCACUGAUCUUACACAUAUUGAUAUAUCAAGGCAUCUCUUCCAUCUUCAUUAGUGAUUAGACUUUAAGAAUAUCAAGGCAAUUCGUUUGUUCAGGGAGCUAGAUGCAUACAUAACCUAUUUAAAAUAAGAAUGCAAGUCACAAACUCAACUUAAUAGAUGCAAGCAACAUAUAUGUAGAUCAUAGAACAAGCACAAAUAAAUGACAUCAAGCCAAUAUGAUUCAACUACUCUUAACUAUUAUUCAAGUCAAGACGCAAAAAUACGAUGUUUUUGAAAAUCCAACCUGACAAAUCAUCGAAUUCCGCACACACUAAUGCAAAUAUGGCAACCCAAAUUUUGCUGCAAACAAGAAGAAAAUUUUAAAUAAAAUCUUUCUCCCAACAAUGCACAUGUGUUCAGAUUGGACAAAUGAACACUACCUGAGCACAUGCUCAUUGAAAUGCCAUCACCCUCUUAACUUUGACACCUCUAAGUCACAUACAAGCAAGGGGAAGUAAAGAUCAAGUAUGCAUGCUUAUAGUUUCUGUUCAGUUUUUUUUAUUAUAUUAGAAUCAAAUGAAGAUCACAUUAAUUAAAAUUUUGAGUACAUUAGUUCAUUAUAAGAAACAGAACAUAUUAUGAUAAAAAUUAGAUAAAGACAUAAAAAAAAAAACUAUAAUAUUGAACAAAUAAUUGAAACUCAAGUGUUAGAACACCCUUAAUCCCGCCUGAAGAUUCACUUGCUUGGGUUUGUGAUUAUCAUGAAGGAGAUAUUCGCGUUUCAAUGGAUGAUUGGAUUGAUAUGAACUAUAAUUAUUAUGAGUUCCUAGUGUUAUUGGUCAGAUAAUUUUUCCAUUCUAAGGCAUUCAUAGAUGUCAUGAUUUGUUGUAUGCAUGUGUCGUAUGGAUGUAUCACUUUGAUUAGAGUCACUUGGAGUUUGUUAUUGUAGUUGCAAGUUGGUUAGGAUUAAUUGCAUGUUGCUUAAGAUUAGUUAGCUUUGUUAAGAUCGUUAUAUAAUAGUGUAUCUUACACCAAGUGUAAUCAACUUUUCUCAUUCUAUCAAUUCCAAAUAAUAAAUCUGUCUAAAUUCAUUUCUUUAAGGUAUUCUUAUUUGGUGUUUGUAAUUGAAACCUAUUGUACUAGCUGAUAUAACUUUUGCAAUAUCUUGCCAAAUCUUUUUAUCCAUCUUUGCAAACAUCGAUCAAACGAAGUGCUGAGUUAAUGUUUCCCUUCCUUAUUAUCAGUUGGAUGGAUAGGAAAUGACGCUAUAACACCCAUCGUUGGUGAGCAUGAUCCUUAUAUUCAUGUAUAUUUACAUUUUUAAAUAUACAUUCAUCUAUACUAACAAAUAAGUAAUUAGAUUUCUUCAAAAAAAAAAAAAAAAAAACAAAUAAGUGAUAUAAUUUACAGACUAAUUUGCUAGUAAAUGUUCUAUUUUAAUUUGCAUUUGUUCCUUUGCCAAGCAGAUAAUGAUUUAUAUCCUCACGCAACGUAUGAAUGUACCAAAGCACAUCAUACUUCUUCAUUGAUUGUCACCUAGGAUCCUAUGAUUUCUCCAACUCCACACCCACCACCACAAGGCAUACAGAAAGACUUGAGGAGGUUGAGAUUGAAGACCCUCCUUAAUCCAAUCUUUAGUCAUCGAUAUUGAGAAGAAGUGUCGAGUAUACCUUAUAGAAAUAGUUUUACAUAUCUCUCGCGCAAAGUGACAAUCCCUUAAGCAAUGUAAUGCAUCUUCAUUAGUUAGAAGACAACUACCACAUAGAGCAUUAUCCGUGAGAUUGCACCUUGUUGACAAGAACUGCAUCAUGGAGGCAGAGUCAAACAAAGUGUUGGAUUUUUGCAGGCGCCUUAAUUCUCCAAACCGAAUUCCAAUCAUUUUUCAUGUUCCAAGUUCUAUUGCGAGCUAACAACCAAUCAUAGCCAGAUUUACAGGUAUAAACCCUUGUCUUAGAGUCAUUCCAUAUCCACAUAUCUUGUUUCUCUUCACUAUAAGUAACAGGAGGAGGGUGUUGGUCAACAAGUUGAACAAUAUUAGAAGGUACAUUGGUCAUUAAAGCAUUCCAAUUCCAACAACCAUUUGAACCAACAUCCCUAAGCGUUAGAUGAGUAUCUGAGAUAUUGACAAAAUCAACCUUGUGACACAAUCUCCCCAUCUUAGUCCAAUCAGAAAACCAAAAUGAAUAAUUUCCGUCACUAAUAUGGUAACUAAAACCUUCUAUAAGAUUUUUAGCUGCCUCCAAUAUACUUCUCCAAACUAGAGAAGGACUUCUCGUUUCUUCGCUGCAAUGUUAAUGGCCUCCGGAUCUGCAAUGUUCACGCCCAACUCUUUGAUUGAAAAAUUAAUCUUUCAAUAUGAAUCAAAUGAACACCGCAAAAAAACGGAAAAUCAAACAACGCCGCACAAGACGACGAACAACAAACCACCACACUUAGAUGAUAAAUCACAAAGAAAAAACUUAGAUCCAUGUGAAAAUAACUUAUUUAGAUUGAAAUAUAGAGAAAAAGAUGAAGAGGGGUGAUUUUAGGUCAAGAAUCGACUCAAAACCACCCCUCAAUGAAGAAAUUGGAAGAGAAAAUCUAGAGAGAAAAAAUUAGGGCCGACUUGUUGGAGAGAGAGUGAAGUACAAUCAUCAAUUCAUAGCAAGUACACAUAUUAUAGAAUUGAUCGCAAUAUUACUAAUAUAUCAAGAUAACUAUUACAAAAAAUGAAAUUAAUCACAAUAUUACUAAUAUAUCAAGAUAACUAUUAUAAAAUAAUUAGUGAAAAGAGGACAAUAGAUUCAGAAAAAUGGACAAUAGAAAGAUGUAACCAAAUAUGAACAUGCACACACAUAUUAUUGACCUAAUACAUACUAAAACAUCACAAUAAGUACUGAAGCACAUAUAUACACAUAAAAUCAACGAAAAUAAUAAUUAGUGAUUUAUUAUUCUUAUACUUGAUUCAUACUAAAACUAUGGGGUUCAUUCUUUAUUUUACAUUUAUUAUAGCUUAGAUAUUGUGCAGCAUGAUACAUCACACACACACACACGUGGGCUUGAAUACAUUAUACAAGUAUAUGUGUCUAGUUUUUUAUGGAGGGUUUCCCCACACUUGACUGGUGUCCCUAACUGUCACCCCCAUUUUUACCACCGUAAAAAUAUUUAACCCAAUAUUUAAUAACAUUUUCAAAACUAGUCGCCUUUCCACCAUCGAAAAGUUCUAUAACUUUCAAUUAUCUCCCACUUUUCCACCGUCUCCUUUUCCACCACCGGGAAUGGGUAUUUUGUAUCCACCACCACCCCCUUUUCCACCUUUACCACCCUUUCCACCGCCACCCCCUUUUCCACCACUAGCCCACCACCCUCUACCCCAAGUAUGGUCCUUCUGCCAUGUUACAUCGAUAUACCCUUUUCCACAAUGACCCUCUAUUCCAUCACCACAUCCGUCAUUGUUUUCUCCUUUGUUGCCAUUCCAGAUUGCACCUAAGUCUGACCAAUAUGCACAAUAAUGGUUAGUAUUUGAUUUUUCUAUUUCUCAAACUAAAAAUAAAUGUUUUUUAUUUGAUAUAAACAAAAGAAAAAAUUUCUACAACCAAACUCGUUUGUGUUUCUAUCGCCGCCUUGCAAUAUUGUACCUCUGCUUAGCCAAUUUUCAUAUCCAUGUACCUCAAUAUUUAUAUUUGAUUUUUUUGUUUCAGCAGCUGCAAAUAUAAAACACUUCUUAUUAAAUAUAAUAUAAAAGAAUAAAACGAUUGCACAUAUAUGAAAACUAUUUUGUAUAUAUACAAUGUUUACCAUUGAAAGGCAUAAUUGCCACAAGAAAUAUGCAUAGUGUAUAGAAGCACGCAAAGACAAACAACUUGGUUUUCAUCCUUAUUACGACAAUUAAGAGUAUCUUGUGAGAUAUUAUGAACACAAUAAAAAACUAUAUAUAUAAUGAUAAUGAGACACUAACAAUAAGUAAAUAAUUAUAUAUAAUGAUCAUGAGACAAUAAAUAUAAGAGGACCAAAAAGAACAUGAUUAGAUAAAAUACAUUGUACAACUAAAAAAAAAAGAUAAUAUAUCUUGAUCAACAAAAAAAUAUAGAUUAUAAUAUUUUGUUAACUAAUUGCGAGGAUAAAUGGUCAUCAACAACAAUUGAGUAAUGAAAGGUUAAAUUGGGGAAUGUUUGUUAACCACGGCAAGCAAGAUUUGAGACAAUGGCAACUAGCAAACCACAAUGGCAACAAAUUUUCCAUUUUUUUUUAGAAAAAAUGAUAAUCAUUGUGAACAACAAAUGAUUGUUUAUUCCAUAUGAUCUAUACCAUACCAUAUUUUUAAGAAAUUGAUAUAAUAUGUAAUCAUUUAUUUUCAUUUCUUAUAUUGAAUAUUAAUAUAUCACAGGUAGAACUCUCAAAAUGGGUUAGACCCACCAUAGAUUUGUGCUGGGUCUAACAGUCGUGCCCUACAACCUUAUCCAAAAUACCACUGCACUAGUUAACUAACACAAAUAUAAAAUUACGUUGAUUUAAAAUUUUAUUUGUUUUACAUAUACGUGAGUUAACUCACGCUAAUAUUUUGGGGGAAUAUCAAUAUCCCUUGCCUUUAUCAACACUUGAGAGAAAAUUCUGAGACUCAAGGAAUGAUAUUCUAUGUGUCAGGUUCAUGUUAUCAUAAUAAUUACUCCGUCCGUUUUAAAAUAUAAGUAAAUUUUACUUUUUAGGUUCAUUCAAUUAAUGAUGUAUAUGUAUGUGGUCCAUAUUAUAAACCACAUACAUCAUUAAUUGAAUGAACUUAAAAAAUAAAAUUUGUUAUAUUUUGAAACGGAGUACCAUAAUUUAUUCAUUGGAAUGUGUAGGAGGUAAUUGUAGAUCUAGAGCACAUGAAGAAAGCGAAAUGGAUUUUAGUCGGGUAAUGGACUCAAGUCUCUUUCAUCAUCAUCAAAUUUUUUACACUUAAUUUUGGAUGAAACCAAUUAACAUUUGACUAAUUGUUUAACGACAAAACAUGGAUCGGUAAUGUCUUAACCUUUUAUAAAUUUAAUGUCGGCUGAUAAUAUUUUUUCUUCAAUUAGUCCCUCCAUCCAUAUAUCUAAGAACUUACUCCCUCCGUCCCAAAUUGUAUGACGUUUUGGGCAUUUCACACAUAUUAAGAAAUGUAAUUAAUAUUGUGUGGGAAAGAGAUAUUAUGAGUUGUUUUACAAAAUUGUCCUCAAUAAAUGAUAUGAGAAAGAUAAAUGAAGGAAUUGAAAGAAGAGAGAGUAAUAAAUAGUUAAGGAUAUAAUAGGAAAAGUAACAUUAAUGUUUCAUUGGUAUUCUAAAGUGACGUACAAUUUGGGACAAAUAUUUUUUCUAAAGUGGCAUACAAUUUGGGACGGAGGGAGUAUUUGAUUUUAUUUUUGUCCAUAAAUGUAAAUUUCUUUUCAAAUUAUUAGAUGCAUUUAUUACCUUUUUCCUAAACAUAUCCCUAAUUAAUAUUACUAACUUGUCUUGAAAUGUGAAUAGUCAAAUUUAAUACACAUACAAACAAAAAUCAAUUUGAUAAUAUUAAUACACAAAACAGAUACAUUAAUUACACUGACAACUUUUAUUAAGAAAUCUGAAAAAAGUAAAGGGUUCACAUUAAGGAAGUAUUAUGGUACAUGAUUGGUUUCCAAAUGCAACAUGUCACUGAAGUUUUAUGGAGUAGUUGUUUCAUGUCAGGAAAGUUUGAUAUUGCCCCAAAGUACUGGCGUGUGUUAAUUCACGCGGCGUGAUUUAAAAUCACUUAUGUGUAAAACAAACGAAAUUUUAAAUUAGCAUAAUUUUAUACUUGCGUUAGUUAACUAGCACAGGAGUAUUUUGGACAAGGUUGCAGGAUGCGAGUGUUUUGUGCUGGGUGAAGAGCCGAAUUAAUAAAACAACCUUAUUUUUUGGGCCAAUCCAACAAGCCUAUAUGUUACACGGUUCAGUCUGAGUUGAACCAUUGGGCUUUUCGGUCGGCCAUUAAAACUUACUAAAAAAAUUAGUUUAUAAAAUAGUUUUAUGUAAGAUUGAAUUAUUUGAUUAUGUAUGGCUGAAUUUUGUUGUCUUUGAGGUUCACUUUGUGAGUUGUGAUAAAUCUUUUUUGCAUUGAUGUUUUUGUGCUAUUUAUCCCUUAUGAAUGUUGAUUUAAUAGAUCUUUUAUAUAACUUUAACUAAGUUUAUGAAGUCAUGUGAUUUAUUCGAUGAAUAAUAAUUUAUGUAAUGUGUUUCUAUUAAAAAAAUAUGUGAUAUGUAUUAUUGGUCAUUGCAUCUACUUUUUUGAAAGAAAAAAUUGAAAUACGGGUCGGGUUGAUCCAUUGAGCCGCGCACCUCACUACAAAUUGGGUUGGUCUCAAUUUUGGUGCUCGUCAAUCAACUGGACCGACCCACUCCAAUCCAUUUAUAUGAGUUGGCUCAUCGAACCAAAGCGAAUUGGGUCGGACUAGUCUAUUUAACAGCUUGAAAAUUGCUUUUCUGACAUAGAAAACUACCUAUUGUCACAAGUAAAUGACGCUUUUACCCCAGCGGCAAUUAACAACCGUUAUCCUAAGCGCCGACAGUUAACAACCCCUGGCUCUAGCGGCAGUUAACUGUCGUUGCUUUCUGUUAUAUGAACAGAACAGCAUAGGAGUUUCCAAAACUCCAUUGUUACGUUUUUUGCUUCCAUAGAUGUGAAUUUCACAAAGCAUAAAUCAUUCCAAGCCAAUUUCAAGCACAAAAUCAAGUAAGUUUUUUGAAUUCUAUUGCAUUGCUAUUUUGUGAUUGAUUUGUUAGUUUUGUUUGGUUAAAUUGCAAUUAUAGAGGUUUAUUGAUUUUAUGAUGUUAUGAUAGUUUAGAUUGUUUGAAUUGUUAGGUUUAGGUUAGAAUUGUUUAGAUUGUUAGAAUUGUAUAAUUGUUAUGAAAUUAUGGUAGAAUUUUUAGGAUUAGAUGAAUUAUUGUAUAAUCGUUGCGAUUAGUUUAGGUUUGUUAUGAAAUUUUAUUGUUAUGAAUUAUUGUAGAAUUGUUACGUUGAUCGCCAAUUUGUUUAUGUAGAUAUGUCUCAGAAUCAGGGAAACGUUGAGUUGAACAACAGAAAGGAGGGUCACGACAGGAAGAAAGAAAAAUCGCCGAUGACAUGGCACGAAAUCACAUGUGGUGGAUCCGUCAAAAAGAAGGAUCUGAAGGUGCUGGUGUAUAAUCAUUCGAGGUUGAGGAAGAGCGGGAGGACAUGCUUUUUGGUCCUCAGCCAAAAGCAGGUGCUCCAGGGACUGUCGAGGACAACCCGAUUGACUUAUGUGACGAUUGAAUGUAAUUGUUUUUUAUGUUUUGGAUCUUUUUUACUUAAUUGUUUUGGAUCUUUUUUAUAUGUUUUUUUAUAGUACAUUUUGCUUGACAUAUUGGUAGUUUGAAUAAAUUCGCGUUUUGAAUAAUUUCAAUUAAAAUCGUGUUUUGAGUAAUUUCGAUUAAAGUCACGUUUUGAAUAAGUGCGUAUUCGAAUAAAAAUUAAUUAAAUCUAACGUGAAUUCAACUAAUUAAAAUUGCGUAAUGACUAAAUAAAUUCGAAAAGUGAAUAAAUAAGAUAAUUAUUGUUCCAUUCAAAACAACAUGUAUUAUGCAUAUUCAACUAUAUAUGUUAUCACAUUACAUUCCCAAAUGUACCUUCCAACUACAACAAUCAUCUUACCUCUAAAUGGGGUAAAUUCAAACUUGCUAAACAGCAGGACUCCAGCAUGCGAUGAGCAUCUUGAAUGAUGAUGGUAUUCAAGUAUCAAAAGAAUGAGGUGCAUUCCUUGACACUUGGAUACCAUUAUUCAAGAUGCUUAUUGAAUGCUGGAUUCCUACCGUUUAACAAGUUUGAAUUACCCCAUUUAGAGGAAAUAAUUGUAGCAGUUGGACGUUUGUACCUUCCAACUACAACAAUUGUGUUACCUUUGAAUGGGGUAAAUUCAAACUUGCCAAGCAGCAUGACUCCAAUGUUCGACCGACAUUCCCAUAGUUCCAUUCAAAAGAUUAAAUUCUUGUUAGGUUUGGUUUAAAUGAUGGUAUUCAAGUGUCAAAAGAAUGAGGUCCAUUCAUUGACACUUCAAUACCUUCAUUUAAACCGGCCUAACAAGAAUUUAAUCUUUUGACAAGAACAAUGAGAAUGUUGGUAGAACAUUGGAGUCAUGUUGUUUGGCAAGUUUGAAUUACCCCAACAAUUGUUGUAGCUGGAAGGUGCAUUCAUUCGGUACCUAAUGACGAUCUUCUGGUGGAAUCAAACUUUUGAUGAUAUCUUCAGUUGAUCUCAGCAACGUCACCUACAUAUCGAUCCACUGGAACAUGUUGUGCAUGCUCGUCACGUUUUCGUCGUUCAUUAAUUCCACCCAAGUGAAUGAUACUCUCCCCUCGUCGAGCGUUGAACGUUUAUACCGAACGUGUUCCACCCUCCUUGUGUCUCUGGGGUUGACUCUUUGGUUGAAUUCAGUCAGUUCAUCCUGGACACCUCUUAACGUUACACCAAGGCACCAAACCUUCAACCUCUGAGGUUCUUUGCCGUGCAUGAACAUCGAUCCACCCGGCCAUUGUUUCAAAUCUACACAAUUAGAAAUUAAAAAUAAUCAAUGCAAAACUCAUUCAAACACUUGUAGUGAAAAUUUGACAUAAACCCUAAAAAUCCUAAACAAACCCUAAAAAAUUUAUAAAAUUAAAAAAAAUAUAUAAAUUUAAGCAAUAUAACUUCAUUAUAACAUAUAUUCAUAAUAUAUGUUAAUAACAUUUCAGAUCUACAACAUAACUAUAUUAAAAACAAAUAUUUAAACCCUAAAAAAUUUAUAAAAUUCAAAAAAAUAAUAUAAAUUCAAGAAAUAUAACUUCAUUAUAACAGGUAUUCAUAAUAUAUGUUAAUAGUAUUUCAGAUCUACAACAUAACUAUAUUAAAAACAUAUAAACACAUAUACUAACUAAAAUGUAUGACAAUAGCAAAAGUGAUAAUUUACUUGUGAUUAAGUGGAAGAAAUUUUGGAUGAUUUGGUAGAGUUUUUUUUAGAGAGAGUGAAAAUAUGAGAGAAAAAUGGUGAUGGUGAUGAUGGAGUGAAUUUUUGGAUUACGGCUACUGACUUGAAUAAACCACGAACAUAACGUCAGUUAACAACCGCUGGCUUUCAGCGGCAGUUAACUGUUUGUGCUUAGACUAACGGCUGUUAACUGCCGCUGGGGUAAAACCGUCAUUUACUUGUGUCAAUAGGAAGUAUUCAUUGUCAAAAAAACAUUUUUCUAACAGUUUUAGCCACAAGCAACCAACAAAAUAAGCUAAUAGAUCUAAUCAUUUUGGUCGAACCUUAUGCUUUAUUUAAGUAUAGCAAAGUGAGAAUGAGUUUACUCUUGAUAAUUAGAGAAUAUAUACUAGAGGUCGAGAAACUUUGACUUUAUGGAACUCUUAUUUAUUAAUAGAGUAGUGCACCCUAUCGAGAUAUUAAGAGAAAACUAAUUUUAAAUUAUUAGGAAUAAUAGAAGAAGAGAGUUAUACUAUCGUGUCAAAAAUUAUUGAUCUGAAAGGAAAAAAACUAAAUUGAUGAAGACAUAAACGGUAGUUUAUUUUUACUGCGGAAAGCUUUUCCACGUACCUAUUAGGAAAUGAUAUUUUAUAUAUAGAUGAUUAUAAAUUGGAAAAUGUUAACCGAAGACCCUUACCCUCGUUAUUAGAAAAAUAAAUAUAGUAUUUUAUAUUAAAAUUUGUGCAGUCAACUAUUCAAAAGUUUAAAAAAUGGCAUGUUCAAUUUAAAACUUUUUUUUUUUGGUUCCUUAACCCAUGUCCGCGGCAUGGGUUAGCAAAUUUUGUGCGCAUUCAAUUGCAAUCGAAAAAUGAACGUAACAACCAAACAUAACCCAUUGUCGGUUACAAUUAAUUGAAAUAAAAUGCCAACGGUUUCAUUUUUUGGGUUAUUCGCUUAUUUUUUUUGUUGGGAUCAUUGUAAUUCAAAGAUUGUUUAUUUGUAAACCUUUGAAAACAUCUGAUUGUAUCCAAAGAUGAUGUGAUAGAUGAUAAAAAAUUCACCUAAAUGAUAGAGGACGGAAGUAUCUAUAAUCUCGUAAUUUGACGUCAUGAAAGUCUAAAAGAGAAAAAUCUUUAAAUUACAAGUUGAAAUCUAAAAAUUCUUUGUAAAGGAGUGAGGGAAAAACUCACUUUAAGCGCUUCAUCAUUGUGAAAUUUCCUUAAUCAUGUGCAAUACCCAACAAACAACGUGUUCUAUAAUGUAUUCCCCACUUUCACCAGAAAAUUUGUUAGUUUUGGAAUAUUAAUUCCUCUAGGAAUUUCAUUUUGUUGCACCCAAUCUAGGAAUCUAUGAAAAAUUCCAUUGAUUUGCAUACUCCACAUUGAAACAAACCUAUUUUGGGCUCGUUCAACGUCUUGAUUGACAAUUUUCCCUACAUCUAUCUAUUACAGGAGUAGGCACAUUUAGGUCAUUCCAAAUUAGGAUGGAGCAAGUUGAUAUUCAAGUAUCAUACAAUUUUCAUGGUUCAUACGAGUUGAUAUUCAAGUUGAAAAUUGAAGAAAUGCAAUACGAAGAAAAAUAACCGUUGUCUUAGUUGAAUAGAAACUAAAAAUGAAUUAAUGCUUAAAUGUUUAAAAGGAAGUCAAUUACAUGAAUUUAAAUAUGUAAACCAAAGAAUAUUUAAGAAUGAUUCAUACUCAGGAAUCCAACAAUGAAAACAAAUCAAAACUUAAUACAUAUCAGAAAAUGUUUGAAAGUUUUAUUGCAAAGUAACUUGUAAAACAUGAAGAAAACACAAACUUGAAGUUUAAGAAGAAAGCCUAAUGUAAAUGAAAGAUAAGUAAAAGAUUUUUUUUUUUUUUUUUUUAUCAAGAACGACAAAAACAAACACUACGUAAAAGGCAAGAAAUUUGAAUUAAAAAGCAAGAACUUGAAUUAAACAAAUAAGAAAAAUAAUGGUAUACUUAAGAACUUGCUGUGCAAGAAACUUUAUCUUUUGUUCUUGAUUGUUUAAUCCUUCUUAUUCCUUGCAAACAUCAAAUUCAUCACUUGUCAUAUUUUCGACGAAUAUAAAUUUGUCAUCUAACACCAUGUCAUGGUUAUUGUCAUCUAUCUAUCGUCGAACACUAAUCAAAGUACUUGUCUUAGAUCGAUGAUAUUUUGUAGUGAAAGAAACAUUGCAUGCUGCUAUACAAAUCUUGUUUGUUCGAUUUAGAUUUUAAGGUAGAUUAUGAUAUUUGUAUUUUAAAAUAAAAAUAUCAAACUUUAAAUUUUGAAUGUCAUCGAUCAACAUCUACCAAAAUGCGUGCAUUCAUUCACUGGAUUGUGAUUGCACAUCAUCCAAAUCAAAUGUAUCUGGGGUUCACGAUGUUACUUCAAAAUAAUCUAGUUUAAAGUCCUCACUUUAGCUAUAAAGUCUGAACUCACAUCCCCAUGGGAUGUGGAUUAUAUUCUUAUCCCUAUCAUUAAUCGACUAACUUUUGCUCACAAAUAAAUUAUGUGGGUUAGAUAUCGCAUGACCAAUCCUUAUAUAGAUAUGAAUCACUAAACCAUUAUCUAAAAAAACAAAUUAUUUUAACAAACUUCAUGAAAAUUAUACUAUGAAAAAUAUUACAUAGAGUUCACACACACUGACCUCCAACGUCAACCGAUCGAUGAAGCAACGACACAAGCAUAAAUAUUAGACACAAUACUGCACUAGCUCCUACACAAUAAUAUUUCUUUAACAAAACAAGUGGUUGAACGUAACUAUAUAUAUCAGUAUCAUGUCGGUAUCAGACCUCCAAUCUGAAGUGUCGAUUCUAUAUAGAUACCAACUAGUUGAGAAUGAGAUCUUCAUCUUGUAGCGAAAGGAAACCAACGUUCAUGAAAAGAAGACUGAUAAGAAAUCAUAAACAAGAGGAACACAAGCAAGAGUGCCACUCCCCAUGGAGAUCCACCAGCUCUAUGCAAAGAUUCACUCUCCUCUGGCAAAGGUAAAGUGAACGAUUCUCCACUUGAGAGACAAUGAACAACAAGCAACAAUAAUAGUGGCACAAGGGACAACAAAAUCUUCACCUGAAUAAACUUGUCCUCGUACACGUACUCAUAGUUUAUGUACCAUGAAAAUGCUAACACAAAGAAAAGGAUGAACAUGAAUAAACAAAGAUGAACUGGGAAAGAAAAAUAUUCCCAGAAAUAGUAGCUAUUGUUGUAUCUUGCCAUAGAUAUGGAAAUUGUUCCUGUUAAUGAAGUAAGGAUAUUUCGGAUAUAAAAAUGUUAUAAUCUAAAGUGUUGUCCAAUAGGAGGAUGCCACAAUGCUGUACGUCGAGGUCGACCAAAACGUGUGAAGAAGAGAAAAUCAAGGAUGAAAAAAACAACUAGAAUGCAUUAGUUUCGGUUUGUGUCUGUGUGAUACUAAGAAAUUGGGAUCAUAUCAUUGGGAAACCUGUGUCUUGCUUAUUCGAAAGCUGGCCCAUUUUUUCUAUUUUCAAGCUAUAAUUUGGAGUCAUGUCCCUUCAUGUAUUUAAUAAUCUAAUUGUCUAUGUUUGUUUACGUGGUGAAACUACAAUAAUCGUACGUCCAACAACUAUAAGCAUUUAUUUCUAGUUUCUAUCUAGACGCAGAAAAUCAUUUAUUUUCCAACAAAUUUUAUUUUUUUUUUAAGAAAUUUUCGUUUUUGAUUGGCCUAUUAAGGAGGUAAAUCAAAACAAAAAUAUUUUACAGGGGUGAAUCAAAAUAAAAAUUUGUUUUAUAUAUAAUUUAACUAUGUUUUGCUCUGCUUUAAAAAAAUGUGAGACAAGAGGAAUUAAUAUACAUGUAUUAUAUUGUUUUAAUAGAAUUUAGGUGAGUAAAUCUCAAGAAUUGCAAAUGUACUUAUAAAUUAUAAAUUACUAUAUUAACAAAAUAUUACAUACGGUUCACAUGAUAGCCUUCAACGGCAACCUAUGAGACACAUGUCCCUGAUACGUAGACAUCAAUAAUAAUUUAAAAGAACACAAAUAAUUUAAUGUAAUUACAUGUCUCUGCAUCACCUUGUAAUCAUACAUCACAUGUCUAACAUGCCGACACACAUUCAAUCUAAAGUGUCCAUUCAACAUAGACACGAACUCGAUCGAUACAUUUUGAGAAUAAGUUCUUCUUCACUUAGUAACCAAAGGAAACCAACGUUCAUGAAAAGAAGACUGAUGAGCCAUCAUGAACAAAAGGAACACAAGCAACAGUGCAACUCCCCAUGGUGAUCCACCAGCUCUAUGUAGAGACUCUCUCUCCUCUGGCAAAGGUAAAGGGAACGAUCCUUCACUUGAGAGACAAUGAACAACAAGCAACAAUAUUAGUGGUACAAAGGCCAACAAAAUCUUCAUUUGAAUAAACAUGUCCUCGUACAUGUAUUCAUAGUUUAUGUACCAUGAAAAUGCUAACACGAAGAAAAGGAUAAUUGUGAAGAAACAAAGAUGAAUUGGGAUAGAGAAAUUUUCCCAAGAGUAGUAGCUAUUGUUGUAUCUGGCCAUAGAUAUGGAAAAUGGAAAUUAUUGUUAAUGACGAAAAGUUAUUUAAGAUAUAAAAAUGAUCUAUAGUUCGAGAGGUUUCUAGGGACUUUGAUUUGAAGAGACUGAUUAGUCAAAAAGGUUAAUAUAAAGAGUUGGACAAGUAUGAGUGGAUGAAGUUAAAAGUUAUACAUAUAUAUAUCAUUCACUAUUAAUAGUAUUAAAACAGUGAAAGUUUGUAAAAAUCACUUUAUAAUAUCAAUUUUGUGAAGUUUUUAUUUUUUUUAUUUUUAUCAUUACAUAUUCUAAUGGAACGAUAAGAUAAUACAUUGCCAAUACUGUACUAUUCAUAAAGUACAUGAACAUGAUUAACAAAACUAUGUUAUUUCAACCACUAAAAAAAACCCUUUAUUAUUUCAGGAAAGUGGCAAGUUUAAGGUUGUGAGCAUUAGAAAACAGAAUUCUAACUAUAAUACAUGAAAACAUAAGAUGGUAAAUUCUAAAUAGGUAAUUCAAAUAAUAAUUUUUUUUACAAAGUUUAAAUAGUUCAAAAGCAUCAUGUUUCCAUAUAGCAUAUUCUUUCUCUAACAUAAAAAUGAUAUGGUUUCAAAACUGGUCUAAGAAACAUUAUUAGAUGCUUCUUGAUAAAGAUUGAAGAAUGUGUUUCAUCAAAAUAACCAAUUUUUCAUGUGUGUUAAAUGCUAAGACAUCCAAAAAUAGAAAAUUGUGAAAUCUAAUGAUAAUCUGUCAUACCAUAUUUUUAUAGUCCUUUUAAUUAAGUUUUUACUUUAUUAUUAUUAGUAUAGUGUUUAAUUUAGAGCCAAUUCGAAUAAAUCAUAGUUUUUCAUUUAUUGAAUCAAUUAUAUGUAUUAUUACUAUUAUUGUUGGCCACAUGAUCAAACAAGAGCAAGGCAUGAUAUUCUUUGAAUGUUGGCUAGUAAAGAGGCUAAGAAGAAACAUGAGAUAUUGGAUGGAAAAAAAAAAAAAAAAAAAAGGAUAAGUGGAGAAUCAAUGAAUUGAAGGAAAGGGCAGCCACACAAUGGAGAGAAUAGCAACACCGUAGUGAAAAGAAAUAAAGUGGAGAAGAGAAAGCUCGUGAGCAAUACAUCUCUGGUUUUAUUUUCUUUUUAUUAUGUUGUUUAAUUUUCUAAACAUGAGUAGCUAGAUUGUGCUUUAAGAUGAAUUUUGUAAACCAUGAAACUCUACGAUCUAUUGCAAUGAUUCAAGAGUUAGGUCAUGACAUUGAAAUUAAUGUUGAUAUACAACCUUCAGCGUUAGGGAUUCACCUACGGAAUUAAAGAGUCAUAACUCUAGAGGGUUAUGAUCCAAGAGAUUGAGCGGAAUCAAUUAGUUAAUUUGUCGUGAAAUUACGAGAAUCGUUGUAGAAGAUAGAUGCAAUUUAUCGAAUAACGAGAUAGAGGAUUUGAAAGACCUAGUCAUCUUCCCUUUAAAUCUUAAACAAAUUGCAAAAAGCAUUAAUAAUAAUGACUUUGCCGAAUAGAAAUUGAAACGGUCCAUGUGGAGACGAAUCUUAUAAAUAUUAUUACUUCGAUGCAUUUUUAGUACACUUGUUAAAAGUUUAUUAAGUUUUUGGAUUCGUUUUCCAGGACGUUUGAAUCAUUUCAAUGAGACAAUUUUAUUGUUAUUUAAGAUUUGUGUCAUUUAUAUAUUUUUUUCUACUUAUAUAUUGUGACAUCCAAAAAAAGAAAAUUGUGACACCAAUUUAAAUUGACGAAGGAAAUGAUGGACAAAUACAAAGUUUGAGAAUUAUGAUUAUCUCGAGAGAGUUACAUUAAUUAUGUGUGAUGUAAUAACAUCAAUCUUAUAAAUACUAAUAAUAUUAUUUCAUGGUAAGACUAUAAGGUCAUUCAUUAUUUUAUAUUUCUUACAAUAUUAAGUAUUGUGUUAGCAUGUAUAUGCGUCUAAUUUUUCAUGGAGGUUUUCCCCACGCUUGACUUGUUUCCUCAAUUGUCUUUCUCUUUUCCACCACCUCCCAUCUUUCUACCAAUGAGAAAACCUAUGUUGUUUCCAUCACUUUCCCCCUUUCCUUUCCUUUUUGCAUUUUUGAGAAAUUUUACAAAAUUUCCACUACGACCGCCACCAUCGGGAUAGGUUUUAUCGUUUCCACCGGUGCAAGCGUCACUGCUUUUGACUCCAUCCUUCCAACGCACCCACCAUCCAUAGCAAUUUAGCUCUUCGUCUUCUAUUUCAGCCACUGAAAAAUAACCAAAACUUUUUAUUAAAUAUUUAGAAAAGGAAAAAAAAUGGUGUAUACAUGGCUACUAUUUAUAUAAAAUGGUGUAUACAUGGCUCCUCUUCUUCAUAAGACUCAUUUGCCACAACAGAGAUAAGAAUAAAGGCAGAAAAGCACAAUAAAAUAAUCAAAUUGGUUUUCAUCGUAGUUACUACUAAGAGUUUCUUAUGGAAUAUGAUUUUAAUCAACACUUAUUUAUAAUGACCAUGGGGCAAGAUUGAUGUGAGAAGAAUAAAGAUCUUGAUUAGAUAAAAUAUAGUGUACAAUAAAAAAAAAAUGACCAUAGGGGCAAAUUGGUUAAUUAAUUGUGAGGAUAAUGGCUAUUCAAACCAUUGAAGGGUUACAUUUGAACAUUUUUGUAACUCGAGGUAAAUAGGUUUUUUUUUUUUUUUUUUUGAGGGAAGGUAAAUAGGUUUUUUAAACCAUGACAACUAGAAAAUAAUUAAGAUGUUUGAUGAUUUCUUUGAUGAAUCAUAAUUUUCUUCUUCUAAUUUUUUUUUUUUUUUUUUUUUGUAAAAAAUGAUAAUCAUAGUUAAGAACAAAUCGUUCUUUGUUCCAUAUCAUCUAUAACGAGCCAUAAUAUUAAUUAUGUUAAUGCAUAUGUAUCGACUUUGUUCCAUAUCAUCUAUAACGAGCCAUAAUAUUAAUUAUGUUAAUGCAUAUGUAUCGACUUAUGCCCAUAGCUUUCUUUUCUACAAAUUGGAAGUGCAGGGAUAAUUACGAAUGUCUGACAUCCGAACUAUGUUGGCACCUUAAAAAUCUUACAAUCAAUUCAAUUAGCUCAAAAUAUUUAUUGAUAUUAAAAAAGAAAACAAAAGCAAGGGGAAAUGGGUUUAUUGUGUUAUGUUAUAUUCAAGACUAUAAUAUUCUAUCUAUAUAAUAAAAGGAAACUACCCUAGAAAAAUCAUAUACAUCAUUUUCUCAAAUUUGUACAUAUCCUUUUUUAGGUAAAAGUGGUCGAUUUCUUUCUAAAUCAAAUAAUAAAAUCUAACGUUCAUUGUGUAAGUCAUAUUUGUAAGAACCAAGUUGGUUCAUAUACAAUUUUUUUUUUUUUUUGAAUAAGGUUCAUAUACAAUAUCUAUCUUUGAUGUUUUGAUGAUAAUGAAAAUAGGAUGAACAAUAUAUAUGUUAUCUGUUUUACUAAGUGUGUGGAUAAAAUUAUUGGAGCAGAGCAAAUAAAAUUAUUGGAGAAUUUUCACUAGUCGUACAAUCAGGGUCGGCCUAUAACUCGUUAAGGUUGGGCUAUGCCAUUGGGCCUCAAUUUUUUUGGGCCUAAAAUAUUAGAGUAUUACUUUUUUCACCCUGUUGAUUUCUCACGCGCCCUGUAAAAUUUUCAAAAAUGUCCAUUUCUAGUCCGGAUUACGUAAUCCGAAUUGCAUCAGCACCAUGAAAAAGUUGCAAGAGAUACAAACCGUUUUCACCAUUUUAAAGAUGAGUUUUGCUCAUGUAAUGAUGUUUUACUUUGUCUUUUGUUUAUCAAUAAGAGGGAUCAUUUAACAUGGAUUGGAAGAAAGAUUCAGGAAGCAACAAAGAGAAAGAAAGAUUAGAGCAAAAUAUAUACAACAGUAAAAAAAGAAAAAGGAAGAAAAAAAAACAGAAUAAUGUGCUACAAAGUGGUAAAGGGGACAAUACAAGUUUAAAUCCAACACUUCUUUACGUAUAAUUUUAAUGGCUUCUAGAUGCAUUUUAAUUUUUGCAGAACUUUUAAGGACUCAAUACUUCUAGAAAGAAAUGCAACUGGAAGGAGUGGUUACAGUUGGAAUGACAGUGGCAAUAGUAGCAACAACAACUGCCUUAGCUCCAGCCAUCACACCCUCUGUUUACACAAGAAUUGGUGAUGGUGUUGUCUGGAUUACGUAAUCUGGAUUGCAUCAACACCAUGAAAAAAAAAGGUGUUUAGGGGGUUUUCAGAUUAUGUAAUCCGAAAAAAUCAUGUUACGCGUCCUAUUUUUUGAGAUUUCUGGAUUACAAAAUCCGAAAAAUUCCGUAACUCAUUUUUCACCCUUUAACAAAAGAAAACACCCAUUCCAGAUUAUGAAAUCCGGAAACCUUAAGAGCAUUUUUGAAAAAAAUGUAGGGCGCGCGAGAAUGCUAUAGGGUGGGAAAAGUAAUACUCAAAAUAUAAUUGUUUUUAAUAUGUAAGGAACUAGAUUAGUAGUUAUAUAAGUGAAAGUAUAAUACGUUAUGCACGGAGUUCUAGUGGCGCGCCCCAUUGAUGGAUUUUUUGAAGGAUGAGUGUAUUGACUUUUUUGCAGUUACUUCUAAUUUUGAUGAAUGUCCAUCUCAAGAGAAGAAUUUUUUCACUCUCUAUGAGUAACCGAUUAAAAAAAUUGUAAAUGCCAAUAGUUUACAGAAUCUGACAAUAUUUUAAUAUUAGACAGUUUCCAUACAAGAGAGAAAAGAAGAAAAUCAAAAGGCAUAUUCUGUUAGAAUAUAAUUCAGUUUGUUAAGUUUAGUUUAGUUAGUUAACAAAGGUUGUUAUGAGUUUGUUAUGGGAUUGCUUGCUUGUGAAGUAACUAAGUGUAACAAAGUAUGCUAUAUAAAAAGUAUAGACUAUUGUAUGCCCAAUAGUAAUUGAAAUCAUAUAUAUUAUAUUGAGAAUCAAAAACACUUUCCAUUACUCUCAAUCACAUAAUCUUUCUAAUCCCAUCCCUUUUCUCUCUUCUCUAUUCUCUCAAUUUCAUCAAAAACCUUUUGUUCUAACAAAUUCUAUAUUCUGAAAAAAAAUACUUGAACAAUUUAAGCUUAGAUGAAAUUGUGUUAGAUGAGAGUGAUUAGAACUUGUUGCAAAUCAAUCAAGUACGCAUCAAUAUAAUCAACUUUCUAAGAUAUAUUAUAUACUUGGAGUGAUAUAUAUAGAAUUUAAAUUGUACGUUCUCCAUGAAGAGAGUUAAAAUGCUAAAAAAUUACUUAGCACUCGCUUCAAAUACAAACUCAACCUUUCGUAAUUUGGCAUAUUGGUCGCAACCACCUAUGUUUAAAGGUCGUUCUUGACAUAUAGGUAAAUACUUUGUUCGUCAACAAGACUCCAACCAUGAGUGUCGAUAAGACUAAAAGGUUUCUAGUAGAGCCUAGAUAGGCCGAGGAACAUUACUUAUAUAGCCUAGAGAGACAGAAGAAUAAUACUCAAACAACCUGAGUAACGAAUAAUGAGGUAGACUAGAGAGGCAACAACAAUACUUAACUCAAGAAACAUGUUGCUAAAUCUUAAGAAAUCUAGAAUUUGUCAUUUUGGUUUUUUGCUGAGUUAUUAUUAGGCUUAAUUGCAGUUUUGGUCCCCUAUGUUUCAAGAAGUUGCGAUUUUGAUCCCCUAACUAAAUAAAGUACAAAACCGCCCCCUAAGUAUUGACUUUUUUGCAGUUUUGGCCCCCAUGCCAAUUUUGACCAAGUCAAAGCUGACGUGGACGCCACAUAUGUAUUUAUUUAUUUUUUAAUUAAUAAAAAAUAAAAAAAAUAUAUAAUUUUUUAUUUUUUAAUUAAAAUAUAUAUAAAAAAAUAUUUUUUUUAAUUAAAAAAAUAUUUAAAAAAUAAAUAAAUACACAAGUGGCGUUCAAGUGUGCAUUGGCUUUGUCAAAAUUCGUCUGGGGGGCCAAAACUGCAAAAAAGUCAAUACUUAAGAGGCGGUUUUGUAGUUUAUUUAGUUAAGGGGCCAAAAUCGCAACUUCUUAAAAUAUAGGGGGCCAAAACGCCAAUUAAGCCUUAUUAUUAGAGAGAGUCUAAUGAGGCUUUGAUAAACAAUACUAAACACUUGAAGAAGUGCUAAUUAAAAUAGUUACUUAAUUAGUUGAUUAGAAUAGAUUAAGUCUUUCGAGUGAAUAAGGAAAAACUCUAUUUUAUCUUCAAAUGCUUAUAUUAGAAGCAAAAAGCAAAGAAAAAGGAUGGACAAUCCAAAGAAAAAGGAUUAAGUUCUCUUAAAAGUGUACCUUCAUAUAAGCUUUUGAACCAUGAUAAUUUCUUUAAAGAUGCUAUGAAUCUACGUGUAUUUACAUCCAGACCCGUUCUUACCCUCAAUUUUUAAGUAGUGGAACAAGAAAACUUGAACAAAUUUAUAUUUUGCAAUUUGUUAUAUGUGUGUUGUGAUUAAAUUACUUAAGAUCUAUUUAUAAGCCACACACACUACCAUCAAAUAGGAAGUGUUGACUCAUCUUAAUGAUCUUUUACUUUCAUAUGGUUAAUUAUAAUGAAAAGCAAUUAACACAUGUUAAUAACAUGCUAAUUCAUCUAAAAAAACCAUUUUCUAUUAAGAAUUUAAGAAGAUCAUUAUAUUGACCAAUAUGCUUUCACAUAAUUAUAUAGUUAUGUAUGUAAUAUCAAACAAUUGAUAUAAUAAUUGCUAUUUUCUUGGUCGCUAUCUUCAUCACCACAUUACAAGGCUGAUUAUCCUUUAAUCUUUGGUAGUCUUUGGUGGAGUUAGGCGAAGCUCUUUUACAAGAAGAUUAGAUGCAACAAUAGUUGGUUGUCGACUAGUAUAAAAAUAGUUGUUUCUUUCUCUUUCUCUGCUAAUAUAUCUUUUACUAUUUAGCUUAAAGCUUUUCAAAAUAACAUGUUAAUUUAAUCAAACAAGGAGGGACGAUAUAUAAAACAGAGAUAAAUGUAGUAUAUAUUUGUAUAUAGAAUUGUGAAUACACCCAUAAUAGAAUCAUUUUUAAUUAUUUGACUAAUAGAUGAAAGAAAAUCAUUCAAACAAAAACAAACAAAUAAAAGGAAAUUUUUUCAAAAAAGGGAGUAGGUUUCAAAUAAAUUCCACGGUUACAUGAUAUAAUAAUUUUCAUAAUACAAACAAAAAAAUAUCCUAAAAAGAUAUGAUAUCAAUUUCAGAGAAAAAAAUGGAAGAUAUGGCAAAAUUGGUGAACUCUACGGACUUAAUUCGAUUGAACCUUGAUAUAGAAUUUUAACAAUUAAUCAUUGUUUUAAACGAAGUUUUCUAAUCUAUCAACACAUUUAAAACCUCGUUUUCUUGUGUUUCCCAACACCUUGAAUAUCAAUUUCCUCAUUCUCUUCCAUUUAAAACCUCGUGAUCUACUUCGCUAAAACUAUCAUUUCCCUUAUUUGCAUUGACUGUUAUUCCACGUUGUGAGGUAGGGAGAGAUAAAUGAAAACCAUUCGAUUACAAAUUGUGCUUACAAUGGUAAACGACUGUAAAAAAACAAAAAGAUAAACAAAACAAAUAACCCUUGAAUUUGAAAUACAUUGACGUGCAAAAAAAACUAUUUCAUGUUAACAUGUUUUAUUUGGCACAUCUAUUUAAAACUUUAAGGACGUGUUUGGAUUGAGGGUUUAGAAGGGGAAUGGAGGGGAGAGUUUAAUUUUCUUGUUUAAACUACGUACUAUAUAACAUGUUUUUCUAAAAUAAAUCAAGUGUCAUUGAAGUUUUAUAUCAUUGUUUAUCAUGCUAAUAUGUUAACUUUCUAAAAGACAUUUUAUAGUAUCCGUAAUUUAAAAAUGAAAAGUGAACUCUCUCCUCCCUUCCCCUCCUAAACCCUCCAUCCAAACACGUAAUUUCAAUAUAGUAAAUUGGUGUUCAACUUCGUUAGAUACUUUACCAUUUAUUUUCUUAUUCAAGUAAUUUGAACAUCAAGUGGUAGUCACUUUUAUUAAUUAAUUGAAAUUCCUCCUUCAAUUUCAAUUUUGAUUAAAAAAAAGUUUAUACAUACUCUCAUGGCAUUUUGCUUAUGCUUAAUAUAUGAAAUUAAUUCAGCCAGUUUAACAACAUUUUACUACAUAAAACCGUGGAACUUGUUAUCCAUUUAAGGUUGAUAAUUAAGGGAUACAAACUAGGCAUAAGACAUGCUUUAUUUUAUAUUUUUAUUACAUCAUUUACUGCAUGGCAUGCAUAUGUGUCAUGGUUUUCAUGGACUUCCCCCAUGUCCUCCAUGUUUGCCUCCGCCGUGUCCUCCUCCUCCCCAGCCUCCACCACCACCACGUCCUCCUCCUCCACCAUAUCCUCCACCACCGCGUCCUCCUCCUCCUCCCUCUCCCCCUCCCGAACCUCCACCAAAUCCUCCACCACCGCGUCCUCCUCCUCCCCAACCUCCACCACCACCUCGUCCUCCUCCUCCUCCCCAACCUCCACCACCUUGUAAUCCUCUUCCUCGAUCAUCUACCUCAAUUUUUGUUGGUGAUUCUUCUGUUCCACCAGCUGCACAUACACAAUCACUUUUAAGGUAUUCCUAAUAUUGAUAUUUUUCUUAGAAAGUUUAAGUAGAUAUUUUACGAUAUAUAUACAAUGGCAAGUUCAUAAAUUUUUCAAAUAUAUGAACAAUGAUAAUUAAACACUCUUAAAUCCUCAAGAUCAACUGGACACCUCAUUUCAUCUCUGUUUUUUUCCUUCUUAUUAUCACAUCACAUACUCUAAUUCUCAAAUUUAUUUUCUCUUAGUGUGUUUAAAGAGUGUAUAUAUUAGUGUUGACAUUUUCCCUUUUCAUAAUCUGAAAAAAAAAAUAAUUAUAACAUAUGCAUAAAAAAGAUCUUUUAUAGCAAUUUUACAUUCAUUUUCUUUAAAAUAUGUAUGUAAAAACUAUUGUUUUUCUAUAAAUAAGGAGUUCAAUGUCAUGUGCUCAAACCCAGACAAAUGAGGAAAUAUUAAUCUAACAACUAAUUAUAUCUUUCAAUUUUUUUUAAUGAGAAAUUUAUAGUAGUAGUAAGUGUAUCUAAAACAUGUACCUUGUUUUCCAUCUUUGGACGGUUCCGUUGCUGCUGAAGCGAUAAGAAGUAAUGCGCAGAGGAAGCACAAGAAGAUAACGGGCUUGAUAUUCAUCUUUGCUACUUAGGUUAUACUAUUAAUUGGUGUGUAGUAUGAAAAACACUGUUUGUUGUAGACAUGCUAUUUAUAGUGCUAAAAUAAAGGGAAAAGACAAAUGAAAAAAGUAAAAAAAAAAGAAAAAAGAAAAAGGAAUUUGGUUAUUUAAUUCGUUUGGUUGAUUCUGAGAAAAAUGGAAUGUGAAAAAUGUAUCCUCAUCAUCACCGAUUUAGUAAUUGAAGGCUUUGAAUGAGACACGAUUUAGCAAUUAGGGAAAACAUAGUUCUUAGUCUUCUUGACAUCGGUGUGGUCAGGCGGUUUGUUCCCUUGAGUCCAUCAAAAACAGUGAUACAAGUGUACGUGGAUGAAGAAAAGCUCAUGUUUGAAAGGAAGCAUAACCAAUUGAAUUGAAUGACUCCUACUUGAGAAGCCGGUUAUUGCGGCAAAUAUGAGGUGGGUUAGAAAUCCCACAUAGUUUAAAAAUUCUUAAAUCUAAUAUCUUAAUCUUUUGAAUUAAGAUGUGGUGUUCAAUUCAUUUCUUUAUGUUAUUCUUGAUCCAAUAUCCUUUCAUGAUCCAAUAAUGAUGUAAAAGUUUGGUUCGACAUAAGGUUAAACUAAUCAUUAUGUCGAAAGUCUUUCUUAAAAUAUGGUCAAGUGAUGUAUAGCGGGUGUCAACAAUAGUGGAAGUAUUUUUAGAUGAAAAAGCUUUCGUUUUAAGUUAAAUGUGAUGUUCAACUCACUUGUAUGAUUUUCUUAAUCUAAUGCAGAUGAUCCCCGAUACCUCCCUUAUGACCCAACAAAUUAUUCUCUACCAAAUCCAUUUAUAGGGUGCUACCUAUCAAUAAUUGACAUUUUUUUUGUGUUAAAUAGCCUAAUGGUUAGUAAUUCAUUUUUUAAAAUGAAUAAGUGAACGUUUACCUAUACAUAUAGGUGGCAACUAGACUAUCCAUGAAAGAAUGAUGGCUAAUUUACCUCAACCAAUACACAUUAGCCACAUAAGCACAUAUUCAUGAACUAUCUUGACCCCACAAAUAAAUUGUUCAUUUUCAUUGGUUGGUGGGUAAAUUACCCACCAUUCUUCAAAGGUAAUUUAGAAAAAACCAUACAUAUAUUAUAAAAUGUCUUUACCAACCGCUCACGAGCACCAAUACAAUUUACAUUUAAUAUAAUAUUUUAUGAUUAGAUAUUAACUUUGCAACAAUUAGUCCUUUAAAAAAUUUACAACAAUGAUAUAUUUAUACAAUUAACAUUCUCCAACAUGCAUUCAGCAAAUCAUUUUAUCGUUAUCUCUUUCGUAUCAUCACAACGUUGAUUAUCAAUUCUACCACACUCAUUUUAUCUCUUUCUCGCAAGAUGUAUACACUAUAUAGAGUAUCCACCAAUUAUUUUCCUAAACUUCAUUUAUUCGCAUAUAAAUUCAAACUUCUUGCAUACACCUCCCAAUUUAAUCUUGUCGGUCUCAUUUUCCUACCACACCUUGAACCUGUUCCAUAACUUACGCCAAGAUUUCAUGAAAGUUUCCUUCAAGCAAAAAAAUAAAUAAUCCAAAGCUGAUAUAAACUAACUCAAUGAACCCAAGAAUAUUUUUGUUUUUUUUUUUAUAAGCAAAACUAGUUACAAACCCGUGCUUCGCACGGGUUGAAUAACGUAUCUUGUAAAAAAAUUAUUCGAAAAGAAAUAUUUACCAAAAUAUUUAUGAAAGCUUUACCAAGUCUUGAUUCAUGAAAAUAGGAUAUACUUUGUUCCUGAAAUCAGGAAAACAUGAUCAUAAUUAAGUUGAAACUAAUUGAAACCAAUGUAGGGUAAAGGACAUAGAAAUAAAUUUGAACUUCAUCGAGUUUCUUUCUAUUUUAUAAACAGUUUCACUUAUCACCUAUAGAAGUUGAGAUUUGAUUGUUGGUAAUGUUUUUUGUAUAAUUAACCUAAACUUUCUUACAAUAUUAUUAGUGCAAUUUAUCUCUGUAUAAACUUCCUAACUCAACUCCUCUGGAAGCUCUAUGAACAUGUAAGUCAAACAUUUAUUCAGAAGAAAUUUUUUUUUUUGAUUAGUAUCAGACGGCCAAAGGACUAAAGUUUAAAAUAGUAAUUUUACCACCAUGACAAUGAUAAUUUUUUCAAUCAAAGAAGGGUACCACCAUUCCUAUUCCUCAACUAUACCAUCAAUUGUACCACAAAAUAUAAGCGUAUCACUCACCCUAACUUCCUUUAGUUAUGCAAUAGACUUCUUUGGAUGGAGAUGCAAGAAAUCUUCAUCUAUCGAUGGUUUACCCCUCGGACCAAUAAUCGGCACAGUGGGCUACUUCCGAUUGAAUUAACAUCCAAACUGAUACAAUAUGCAAACAUUGAGGCGUAAACAAACGCAACACAUACAUAUUUAAUUAAUGUUAUCAGAAUCUGAACAUAUAUUAAAAACCACGACAAUCCAAAUAAAAUAACUAACCCUUUCUUAAAUUCAGCAGCCUCUGAUAUAUCCGGAUUGAUCAUAAUUCGGGUAGUAUUCACUACAUUUUGCGGGGAUCCAUUCUCUACAAAAAUUCAACCAAUGACAAAACUUAUAAGAAUAUAAUAUUCAUACAUUAAAAUUUCAAAAUGUUUAGAAGAAAUAGACCAAAAACACACCACUGAAAAUCUUCACUUUUGUGAACUGCAUAUCCAGCAUAUGCAAACCUUCAUCAACUUUGGCCAUGAGUUGUUUCAAGUGAUCCACAUAAUAUCCAAACAGAGCAAUCUCACAUUUUCCACUUGUGACAAAAAUCAAACAGAAGUUUAAACGAUGGUCCCUUCUAUAAACAAAACGAAGAUAAAUCUUAACAUGCCUCAUAAAAUAAGAUAUCAACAUGUGAUCAGUUAGCUAAAGCAAAAUCAUCUUGGUGAUCUUCCCAUCCUUAAUAUACUCCCUUACCUCCGAUAUUACAGUCAUUAAGCCAAUGCCAUCUAAACAACAAAAACGAUUAAGAAAAGAAAGAGGUAAUCAUAACAAAAAAGGAACAAUAACAAAGGGAAGCAUAAGGAAAAUAAGCAAAUUUGGAAGAUAUGUAGAUAACUCUAUGAAAACAACAAACCAAUCAAAUAAUCGUUGUCCACGGUUUGAUGGUUAACCUCAACUAUAUUAGUCAAAGUUAAUCCAAACAUGGGAAGCAAGGGACCGUCAACAACACUCACUUUGGUCCUCAUAUGGUAAAACAACUUAUAAGUAUGGGUAGUUGUCCUGUACAAACCACUGCUUGGAGCAACUGAAUUCUAAUCUUAUAAACGCAUAAUUGCUUGAAUUCUAAUCUUCCGAUUUUGCCAAAGACAUGUCCUGAAAAUGCCCUCGACGACAAUGUAGCACCUUUUUAUUCUACUCUGUAAGGGGCUAACACAAAGCAUUAUAAAACUUUGAUGCAUAAAAAGUGUCUCUUUCACUCUGAUCAAGAAAAACUGGUGCAACUAUAUAGUAAACAUUUUAAAUUUUUUAUUAAAAUUAGGUGUCAUUGCAUGAAAGUUAUAUUAUGUAGUUCGUAACACCAUUGUUUCUACAAAUGUGUUUUCAUGGAAUGCUAUUAACAUUUUUGUCUUUAAAUGUAUGCAACAUGUUUUAGCAAUUUUUUACAGAGAUGUUAAUUUUCAUUUGUUUCAACAAUGUUGAUGCAUUUUUUCUAAGAAUAUUGGUUAAGAUCAUAGACGAAUCAAUUGGGUGACAUAAUGCACUGAUAAAGCUAAUAUUUUCCGUCUUAUGCAACCAAUUAUAAAUAAGAGUUUAACCGUUCUUGUUCAUUGGUGACUAUAUUCAACCAAUUAUUUUUUUUAAAAGAGGCAGAAAUAGAAAUAGAAAUCAUAAAUUAUGAUCAAUCUUAUGUGUUUCACAUACUAAAAAACUUUAAAAUUAAAAAAAAAAAUAUUGUUCAACUUACAUACAUGAUUUCUUUAUCAGAUUAGAUUUUGGAAACAACCAUUAUUUUCUAGUUAGAGAUUCUGACUAACAUCUGAGAAUCUAAUUAUAUAUGAAAGUCAAAUAACUUUGCAAGAGUCUAUGACAUGUUUUCAAAAAAGCAGACAAAGAAAAGGUCAAUCACUCCUUCAUGAUGUGUUUGGCCAACUUAGUGGAAGACAAUUGCGUUGGAUUAUAGGCAUCAGAUGCAAUGUCAUCUUGGUAUUUUUAAGUGGACGAACGCUUUGCAUGAGUGAAAUUCCAAAUCAUUUUCACCACAAGCAGAGAAGGAAAGUUGUCACAAUAAGGAUAAAAUUUUCAUAGUUAAAAUGAAUAUAAUAUUAAUAAUUACAAUAACAAAUCACAGAGAAAUUCAAUGUGUUUAAUUAUUAUACCGUGGGAAUGUUAAGAGAAUCUGAGCACUUAGAAGAAGCAUUAUUCUUCUCAAGAAUGAAUGUCUAGGUUGGAUUAUCAUAGAUAACAUUCUACAAUAAUAAAAUGAAAAUCAAAUAUAAGUGACAGAAAAAGAAACAGUCAAAUCAAUUAUUAAAAAAAGAACACGACAGACACAAAGAACCUCAUCAAGUUGUUGCUCCUCUGGCUGAAGAUGAGACUUAAUUUUUUUUUAUGACAACAGGAUCACGGGAAACAACUCAAACGAAUGAUUGAUGAUAUUAUGGCUGAUGGUUGACACGUAACACAAACUCAAGGCCGAGUAGUUUAUAUAGAUGUUUUUGGUAUAUUUUAGAAUCAUCCUCAUCGACCUUCAUAAAUAAAUACAAUUACAUAAGUUAUAAUAUCUAUCAAUCAUGCGGAAAAUAAGAUGAAAAUUAAAUUAGGGAUAUGUCGCGUCAUUUUUCGGACGUCAAGGCUAUUUGAUUAGCUUUUGACUCACUAAUUUAUUUCACGACUGAACAUUUAAUUUUUAAGAAAAAGGGGAAAAAAGUUCAAAAAACACCCCAUAUUGAAAAGAUUUAGGGUUCGGGGGUUAGUUACACAAAGGGAAGGUGUUAGCACCCUUUAUGUCCAUAGUACUCUACGGGAACCUCUUGAUUUUAUUUAAUUCAAUGUGCUAUAACUUGCUUGCUUUUGAAAAGAAAGAAUUAAAGUGAAAAAGAUAAAGACCUAAAUAUCUACAUCAUUUUUUAUUGUUUGGGAGGACGAGUGUCCUCUGCCUACGUACCCGUGAAGGAUCAAAACCUCGUAGUUCGGGGUAGAAAACAACGUUUGAUUGGUUUUGUGUUUUUUAUUAGUUUUGAAAAAAGGUUUUAAAAGGAAAAGCCAAGUGGCGAAAUAAGAAUUGGUUUGUAUUUUUUUAAAAGAAAAUGACUUAAAGUAGAUUUAAAGUUGAUUGCAAUUUUGAUUUAUGAAAGAAAUAAAAUAAAGACGAUCACUUGAUUUGGAUCAAGGUUUGUUUAUGAAAAUGUUUUUGUGAUUUUUGGUUAUUUGCAUGUUUUUUGUGAUUUUUGAAUAAAUAUAUAAACUAACGGAGCAUAAAGAAUAAAAGCGCGGCUACCCUAAGUUAGAAAUAUAAAAUCUAUGACUAUUACAUAAAAGCCUAUUUACAUUCUAAGAUCUGCAAUAAGAAUUAAAAUGCUAAGAAAAAUAAAUAAAUGCGGAAAGGAAUAAGGAAAAAAAUAAAAAAGGUCCAAACACAAGGUGGGGUGCAGUAGCAAACAGGGGUGUGCAGAAAGCAGAAAAAAAAGAAUUGGGCUUAAGGAAACGAACCGGGUCGUGGGUCGCGGGUCAUGGGUUGACCCGUUUGGGGGGUAUAUAAGGGCUGUUGGGCCCUUUUUCUUUCAUUUUUCCUUUUCUUUCUCUCUCUUCCUCACCGGUCUCUCUCUUCUUCUCUGUUCUCUCUCUAGCUCUCUUCUUCUCCGGCGAAGGGGAUGGGGGUUCCGGCGGUGGUUGGCCGGCCAGUGCGGCGGCGCCACCGCGCCGGAACCCUAACAGCUUUAUUUUUUUUAAUUUUUUUUGCUCUUUCUCUUCUACUUCUCUCCCUCUGUUCACUUCUAACCCUCAAAUUCCCAAAACCGUUACCUAAACGUCUAGAUCUAAAAAAGAAAGAAAUUUAUACCUUUUUGUUUUUUGUGGUUCCGGUUUUGUUAUGGUGUUGGUUCGCGAUUUCCUUUUGUGUGUGCGUUGCCGUGUUCUGUGUUCACGUUGAGUUGUGUGCGUGCGUGCUUGUGUUGCGGUUCUGCCGUUGUUGUUGUUGCGGUUCUGCCGUGUUGUGAUGCCGCGUGUGGGUGUUUGUGCGAUGCCGUUGUUGUUGUUGCGGUUCUGCCGUUGUUGUUGUUGCGGUUCUGCCGUUGUUGUGAUGCCGCGUGUGGGGCUUCUCUUGUUCCCGUAUUCUGUUGUGUGUGGCUUCUCUGUUUUUCUUGUUCUGCUGCGUUUUUGUUGUGUUUUUCUUUGUUGUGCAGGUCUCUAUUUAUAGAGUGAGUUUGAGGCUAGAAUUUGUUACUGAUGAGCACAAAAUCAGUGGCUUGUGGAGGAGAAAAAAGGAAAUGCGUCUGUUUUUUUACUGGAUUUGUUUCAGAUGAGGCAUGAACUGGAUUUUGGAUUGGGAUGGAAAAGGAACAGAACGUGUAUAAGGAUUGAGAUGAACUCGGACUAUUUUUGGACUUAUUUUGGACAAUUUUGGGAUUUUAAUUAAAAGGAAAAAAAAUUAAAUAAAAAUAAAAGGAUAAUGUUUAAAAAAGAAAAAUGAAUAAAAGAAAUUUAAUCUAAUCUUGGACUAAAAUUAAAAUUAGAGUUCUAAAUUAAAAGAUGGAAAUAAAUAAUUAAAGACUGAGAGAAGAGGGCCCGAUUCGGAAUUUUUAUGAGGUAUUUCAAAAUACCUCCCUGCCGAAUUUUUCACUGAAAUGCGAGUCUGGUCCGAGUUCGGAGACGUGUGUUAGUGGGACCUUAGGUCAAAAUUUGGGGUAUGACAGAUGCCCCUAUUUAAGUUUCUUCGCUCAGAGAUUCGAAGGUAAAAUCUUUGACUCGACGAGCCGAAGAGACUUAAAUACGAAAGUGCACCAAUUUUGACCUAAGAGGUUUAUGAAUGCUCAUGAUUUAAUUAUGAAUGCAUGAUGACAGUGACGGCUCGACUGGAAUGGAAAGACACUAGGAUACCCAAAUUCUUCGAAGAAAGGGAUCCGACUUUACUGGGGAAUCUGGUUUCACUGGGGAAGAUGGUUGUUCCUCAUUGUCUCGACAUCUCGAAACAAAGUGCAAAGGUUCAGACUUCAAUGUCCAUUUGUGGACUUGGUUUUGAAAAAUGAAAUAAUAGAAGGAUGCAAGCUAUUUGUUGGUUGAAAUUGGCCACUUGUUACAGGCUGUUCGUUGGUUGGAACUGGUCGCUGAACAUAAAGAUAAAAGAUUGACAUGAGUUGUUCGUUUGUUGGAACUAGUUGCUCGGAAGGUAAGAAACAUUGGCAUAGGCUAUUCGUUUGUUGGAAUCGGUCGCUUGAAACACAAGUUGUUCGUUGGUUGGAACUGGUUACUUAAAAUAAAGACACAAGCUGUUCGUUGGUUGGAACUUGGUUGCUUGAAAAGUUUGGAUAGGUGACAUCUCUAGAACAGCUAUGCUGGGGAUGAUACCUGGAGUUUGAAGUUGACAUCGAGAUCAACUAGCGCCAUGACUAGUACGGCCUUCUGCCGGGGAUGUCACUUCGAAACUAAAAUUGAAAUUGACAUUGAUUAGUGACAUAACUAGCACGGCUUUACGCCGGGGAUGACACUUUUGAAUUUGAAAUUGAGAUUGACAUUCAUUCGUAGAAACUUGCGGCUUGACACAAUGGUAAGCUUUGACUGAUGCAAUUAUGUGUGAAUUGAUGUUAUGCAUAUGUCGUGUACGCGUAAACGUAUGAUUAUGUGAAAAUAUUGAUGAAUGCAUGAUUGUAUGAAUGUAUGGAUAUAUGAAUGUACAUGACACGUGAAUCGAUGAACUGAGACAAGACAGGUAAGAUGGGAGUCGGACCGACAUUGCAUUACAAACAUUCGGCAACCUUCCUUGGAGAUGAUAUUAUUGUGAGCAAAUCGAGCCGUUGAUGGUGUAAGAACCUGGCACUGGGUAGCCACCGAUGCCUCCUGGGGGGUGAGCCCAUUGUCGAUGAAAGAAGUCUGGAAGAAGUCGCCAUUUGUAAACCGGCACAGAGUGUCCUUCCAUUGGUAUGUUUCAGCAGUCAUGCCUUUUGUUUUAUUGAAAAAUCCCUAAUUUUUGCCUGGACCGCCCUUUCGGGUUUUCAGUCCACCGGGAAUAUUUUUUUGUUUUGCCCCUAAUUUUUGCCUGGACCGCCCUUUCGGGUUUUCAGUCCACCGGGACGCUCUCUGUUGCCUAAGUUGCCUUUUCAGGUUUUCAACUUAGCGAGCUUUUUGUAUUUUGUUUAUUCAGAGAUUUUCCUUAGUGUCGAGCCACGCUUUCAGCAGGAUCUAACCUCUCUUGAGUUGGUAUAUGCCUCUUUUACUCCUGAGUGCCAAGCUGUAUCUAUUUUGUUUAUGCUUUUUAUUAUAUAAUGUUUUAGAAAUCUGUUUCAAAAUAUUAUCAUCAAUAAAAGAGGAAAAAUUCAUGAAACAAAACAAAUGGGAAUCAAAAGAGAGGUAAAGGCUCAAAGUUUAUUGAUCGAAUGACGCUAUGCCAAUGGCAUGACUUCAUGGAGUUCUUUACAAAGUUUGAAAAGUAAUGGUAAUUUAAAAGGGAAAGGUACGUUGAACUUCAUAACCCUAUCCUUCUCUAACAACUUUGAAAUCCCGUUAUCUUGCGGCUCGAAUACUUUUGAUAUCAUGUAUGCCCCAAGUGUAUCUGUAUUCGACUGGAUGCAGUUACUUUGUCUUUUUUUUUUUUUUUUUUUUUUUUUUUUUUUUUUUUUUUUUUUUUGCAUAGACUGCCCUUUCGGGUUUUCACUCUAUCAGGAUAAUGAUCUCUGUUUAUUGUCUCUAAUUUUUUCCUGGACCGCCCUUUCGGGUUUUCAGUCCACCGAGACGCUCAUUUUUGCCUAAGUCGCCCUUUUCGGGUUUUCGACUUACCGAGCUGUUCUUUAAAAAAUUUUUAGACAAAGUAUUUCUUGACUGCAUCUAUGUUCACAGGUCGUGGAAGUUCUUCACCGUCCAUGGUUUGUAAAGUCAUGGCACCACCUGAGAAGGCUCUUUUAACAACAUACGGUCCUUCGUAAUUAGGAGCCCACUUGCCUCGGGAGUCUGGUUGGAAAGAGAAAAUCUUUUUGAGCACAAGAUCACCUUCUUUGAACUCACGGGGACGAACUUUCUUGUCAAAAGCCUGUUUCAUCCUUUUUUGAUAUAACUGUCCGUGACAUAGGGCUGUCAUGCGCUUUUCUUCGAUUAGAUUCAACUGGUCGUAUCUAUUCUGAACCCAUUCAGCUUCUGAUAAGUCAGCCUCCAUUAGGACUCUCAAUGAUGGAAUUUCGACUUCUACAGGAAGUACUGCCUCCAUGCCAUAUACCAGGGAGAAAGGGGUUGCCCCUGUUGACGUGCGUACGGAAGUACGAUAUCCAUGUAAUGCAAAGGGAAGCAUUUCAUGCCAAUCUUUAUAAGUCACCACCAUCUUCUGGACAAUCCUCUUUAUAUUCUUAUUUGCAGCUUCGACGGCACCAUUCAUUUGAGGUCUGUAAGGUGAAGAGUUAUGGUGCUCGAUUUUGAAAUCAUCACAUAGUUCUUUCAUCAUCUUGUUGUUUAGAUUUGUUCCGUUGUCGGUGAUGAUCCGGUUGGGGAUGCCAUAGCGAUAAAUGAUAUGAUUCUUGAUAAAUUUGACCACUACUUGCUUGGUCACAUUGGCAUAUGAUGCGGCCUCAACCCACUUAGUGAAGUAGUCAAUAGCCACUAAGAUGAAACGGUGUCCAUUAGAAGCUUUGGGCUCAAUCCUUCCGAUCAUGUCAAUGCCCCACAUAGAGAAAGGCCACGGAGAGGAAAGUAAAUUGAGUGUAGUCGGCGGCAUAUGAAUCUUGUCGGCGUAUAUCUGACACUUGUGACACUUUCUGGUAUGCUUGUAGCAAUCUGAUUCCAUUGUCAUCCAGUAGUAGCCUGCUCGCAAUAUCUUUUUAGCCAUUGUGUGCCCAUUAGGAUGAAUUCCGAAGGAUCCUUCGUGUAUUUCAUGUAUCAAUAAAUCAGCUUCAUAUUUGUCUACACAUCUGAGCAAGACCGUGUCAAAGUUUCUUUUGUACAAGAUAUCUCCAUUCAAGAAGAAAUUACUAGAUAAUCUUCUGAGAGUCUUCUUAUCUUUGUUGGAUGCUCCAGGAGGAUACUCUCGAGUUUGUAGAAACACUUUAAUAUCAUGAAACCAAGGUUUAUCGUCGAAAACUGCUUCAGCGGCAAACACAUAAGCGGGUCUAUCAAGGAAUUUGACGCUGAUUAGUGGCACGUCAUUGUGAUGAUUCACCUUGAUCAUUGAAGACAAAGUAGCCAAGGCAUCAGCCAUCUGAUUCUCAUCCCGAGGGAUAUGAUGUAAUUCCACUUUGUUGAAGAAGGUCAAUAAACGUCUUGCAUAGUCUCGAUAAGGUAUUAGUCCUGCGUGAAGAGUUUCCCAUUUUCCUUUGAUCUGGUUGAUUACGAGAGCUGAAUCUCCAUAUAUUUCGAUGUUCUUGAUUCUCAGAUCAAUGGCUUCUUCAAUACCCAUGAUGCAGGCUUCAUAUUCAGCGAUGUUGUUUGUGCAGUCAAACCGGAGUCUUGCUGUGAAAGGGAUGUGAGUACCCUUAGGAGUAAGGAGUACUGCUCCUAUGCCGUUGCCGUAUACAUUGACAGCCCCAUCAAAUAUCAAACCCCACACUGAAUCUGGAUCAGGACCUUCUCCGAAUAGUGGCUCGUCACAAUCUUUCAUCUUUAGAUACAUAAUCUCUUCAUCAGGAAAGUCGAACUUGAUAGGUCGAUAGUCUUCGAGUGGUUGGUGAGCUAAGUGAUCAGCAAGAAUACUGCCUUUAAUUGCCUUCUGGGAACGGUACUCGAUAUCAUAUUCAGAUAGUAGCAUCUGCCACCGUGCAAUCCUUCCUGUCAAAGCGGGCUUCUCAAAUAUGUAUUUGAUUGGAUCCAUUUUAGAUACCAGCCAAGUAGUGUGAUUGAUCAUAUAAUGACGGAGGCGUUUGGCAGCCCAGGCUAGAGCACAACAUGUCUUCUCGAGUAUGGAGUAUCGAGAUUCACAUUCAGUAAACUUUUUGCUUAAAUAAUAAAUGGCGUGUUCUUUUCUUCCGGUUUCAUCUUGUUGUCCGAGCACACAACCCAUGGAAUUUUCUAACACUGUUAGGUACAUGAUCAAAGGUCUUCCUUCAAUUGGAGGGAUGAGAAUCGGUGGUUCUAGCAAGUACUUCUUUAUGUUGUCAAAAGCCUUCUGGCAAUCUUCGGUCCACACAAUACCUUGUUCUUUGCGGAGUAGUUUGAAUAUCGGCCCACAAGUUGCAGUCAUAUGAGAAAUGAACCGGGAGAUGUAAUUUAGUCGUCCAAGAAAACCUCUUACUUCUUUUUCUGUUCUCGGAGCAGGCAUCUCUCUGAUGGCUUUGACUUUGUCGGGAUCUACUUCGAUGCCUUUCUGGCUGACAAUGAAGCCUAGAAGCUUUCCGGAUCUGACACCAAAAGUGCAUUUGUUGGGAUUUAGACGAAGUUUGUACUUCCUCAGGCGCUGGAACAUCUUCUGUAGAUACUUGACAUGGUCUUCUUCAGUAAUCGACUUGACUAUCAUGUCAUCCACAUAGACCUCAAUCUCUUUAUGUAUCAUAUCGUGGAAGAGAGUAGUCAUACCCCUCUGAUAAGUAGCUCCUGCAUUGAUUAAACCGAACGGCAUUACUUUGUAACAGAAAGUGCCCCAAGGUGUAAUAAAUGACGUUUUCUCUCUAUCUUCGGGUGCCAUCUUGAUUUGAUUAUAACCGAAGAAUCCAUCCAUGAAUGAGAAGACUUUAGACUUUGCAGUACUGUCAACCAACACGUCAAUAUGAGGUAAAGGAAAGUCGUCUUUCGGGCUAGCUUUGUUUAAAUCACGGUAGUCAACACACAUUCUGACCUUACCAUCUUUCUUUGGAACAGGCACUAUGUUAGCUAACCAUUGGGGGUAAUUGGAUGUGACGAGGAAACCAGCGUCGAUCUGUUUCUGUACUUCUUCUUUGAUUUUGAGAGCCAUGUCAGGACGUGUUCUUCUCAAUUUUUGUUUGACUGGCGGACACUCAGGCUUUAACGGUAGGUGGUGCACCACAAUAUCAGUGUCUAGACCCGGCAUAUCUCGGUAGGACCAGGCAAACACAUCAACAUAUUCUUUGAGGAGCUCUAUCACUUGCUUUUUAACACUUGUUUCGAGCGAUGCCCCAACCUUGAUUUCUUUCUUGUCUUCUUUGGUGCCCAAGUUAAUCACUUCUAGUUCGUCCCCAUAAGGCUGAAUGGUCUUCCUCUCUUGUUCGAGUAGUCGAGAGAUUUCGUCAGGGAUCUCUUCAUUCUCUUCUUCCUCCGCUUUAUACACAGGGAACUCAAAGUUGGGAGAGAUCAUAGGGUUAUGUUGUUCAACGGGUUCGUCGAUUUCUAAUCUGCACAUGUGAUGGAUGAUUUUUAGAAAGAAGAUACAUGCAGAUUUUUUGAAAAUUCAUGCUGGGUUUUUGUAUUACCACUUUUCAGAAAAGCAUAAAAGAAAAUGAGACAAAACAUCGGGAAAAAAACGACAUUUUUAUUUUAUUGAUGAUAAUUUUCUGAAAUAAAAAGCCCUAGAUAAGUUCACUUUCGCUUGGGGCGGGGCGAAAGGAUUUUUGUUUGUUUUUUUUUUUGAAAGGAAAAGCAUAAACUAGACAAAUGCAUUACUUGGACAAGUGAGCAACAAAAGGAACAUCUACGGCAACCCAAUUGUGGCUGGAUACUCCUGGCGUUAUAAAACCUCGUGGCACACUUUCAGGAUCAUCUUCAAUGAUUGCAUGGAUAAAGCCCGAACUGUGGAAAGUGCCUUUCUUUGCUGUGGACAAACCAGUAGAUGGGAAGAA